Long non-coding RNA from Mirounga angustirostris (Northern elephant seal), 48276 nucleotides. RefSeq lists it as uncharacterized. The record is from RefSeq and is a predicted model, not a curated record. Lineage: Eukaryota; Metazoa; Chordata; Mammalia; Carnivora; Phocidae. The transcript has 7 exons.
CACAUUUCAGUUAACACUUGGGCAUGAAAAUAAAUAUCCGUGAACAUCAGAAUUUAUAAGUCAAAUGGUCCUGCUCCGAUUGCAAUUUCUGGUUGACAUUUACAGAUAGAGUUUGUUCACUAUAUUGUGAGAUCGAUAUACUGCUCGCCCAGCUCCUUCGUUUGGAACAUUCCAGUCCAUAUAAAAGACUUACAUGGACUGGAACAGGGAAAUGGGUCUUCAUUACGCACUGCCUCACGAUGGACUUUGUCUCAGGUGACGUGAAGAAGUAAAAGAACUAAGUAUGUUGCAGAUACCAGGUAAGAUACCAGAUACCAGGUAAGAUACCAGAUACCAGGUAAGUAGAAAGAUCUUGAUUUUUCCCCGGACUGUUUUGCAAGUGUCUUGGAUAUGUUUUUGUUUGAUUAUCACAGUGCCCCUCAUCCGUAUUAUCACCUUCAAGGCUGUUAGUUCAAAAUACAUAACACAAGGCUCACAUCUUGUAGGAUUCCUGACUGAUUGGAUUUCUCACAUCUUACCUCCUCCCAAUCCCUGAAUGUGUGGUCUGACAUUCACCAAACACAUUCCUUUCAUUAAUGGCCUGGGGAAUCUUGUUGGAGCAGUUCUGUGCCUAGGUUUCAAGAACAUACUGAUGAAGUAAAAAUGUUAACAUUCGUCAAGACUCACCCAUAACAUUAUGCUCUCUAGAGGAUUUCUGAGACCAGUCUCCCUUUCUGGUGGAUAGAUAUGUGAACAUUCGGUAGCAGAGUCCUCUCCUAUUUGAAGGUCAGAGAGGUCUCUUUGUGUAUUUACAUCUGCAAUACCAUAUAUUUAAGACAUUCAGAAGUAAUUGAUAAAUUGUUAAACACUGCAUCUGAGACUAAAGAUGUAGUAUAUGUUGGCUAAUUGAAUUUAAAUAUUUUUUUUAAAAAGCAACUUACCUGAAGACUCCUUAUCUGUAUCAAUUGUGGUUUGUUUUUUUUUUUUUUUCAUAAAUGAAAAAUUACACUCUUUAAAUGGAGGAUGGCUCUUUAGCCAAGGUUUCUAGUUCAUGGUACUCAGAUAAUAACAACAGAUAUUUGAUGGGCUUUUGCUUCUUUUGUUUUUUAAGAGAAAGAUCAUUAAGGAGAAGGUGAGGUAGGGUAAGACUAACAAAUGGAAACGUAUGAAUGGAAUUAAGUAGACACUUAGACAAGACCAGGAUUAACAUGGACUGUCAGUAAUCUGAUUUGAUUAGAGAGAACAGGCCUUUUUUUUUUUUUUUAAGACGAGUCCUUUCCUUUUUAUUUUUUAAUUUUUAUUUAUUUUUUUAAAGAUUUUAUUUAUUUAUUUGAGAGAGAGAGAGAGAGACAGAAAUAGCAACAGAGAGCAUGAGUAGGGAGGAGAGGGAGAAGCAGGCUCCCGGCUGAGAAGGGAGCCCAACGUGGGACUUGGUUCCAGGACCCUGGGGUCAUGACCAGAGCCAAAGGCAGACACUUAACCAACUGAGCCACCCAGGCGCCCCAGGCCUUUCUUUUUUUAAGAAAACUUUUUUAUUUCAAGUUUUUAUUUAAACUCUAAAGAAAACUUGAAAAUUUUGUGGCAUUCUAUUUUUCCAACACUAAAGGAAACUCCUUAGUGGUUAGUGUUGGCUAUUGACAUUGGCCUAAAGUUACCAAACAACAAAACUAUCAAGUAACAGAAUUUGUUUUUUUUUUGAGAGAGGGACAGUAUAUGAAAGUGGGAGGAGGGGCAGAGAGAGGGGGAGAGAGAAUCUCAAGCAGACUCCACACCCAACACAGAGCCUGACUUGGAGCCAGACAUGGGACUCAAUCCCACAGCCCUAAGAUCAUGACCUGAGCUGAAAUCAAGAGUCGGAUACACAACUGACUGAGCCACCCAGGUGCCCCCAAGUAACAGAAUUUUUAAAAUUUCUGUACAUCUUGGUUUGGUAACUGGGUUUUAUUCCACGUUUAGAAAGACGUUUUUAAAUCACAAGCAAUGACAAUUUAAAUAUGGAAGAAGCCAUGGCGUGCACGUGUACUCAGGUUGGUGAAAAGUGGAAAUCCUCACUGAUCCUGUUGUUAUUUACCCCAAACGUACCACAGUUGACAGGAAGAUUCAAAUUCCUCUUGUUCCCUACUUGGAUGCCUUCAUAGUCCCCUCUCCUCUGCUCCGAAGGAACCAUCUGACGUGGCUUCUAGGAGGAGGAUAUUUAUUAGACUGUAGUGCCCAAACUGCCAUCUGUUGGGGUUCUGCUUUUUUUUUUUUUUUCCAGUGGCAAGUGUGGUCAGAUUAGCCCAAAGCUGUCCCUCCUUGGAAGGCAGCCUUCUUAGGAAGUGUUGGAUUAGGCAGAUUAAAUUAGCUGCUUUGAAUCUUCAGGAAAAUCUCUUUUGACUUGUGUUCUUGUACAAUUCUUGGUGUUUUUCUUGACAGGAGAGAGUGGUAAACUAAACGGCUGAGAUAAGGGUGUGGACCUAUAGGAUAGAAGCCAAGGAAGCUGUUCAACCUGUUUUUGUUCUUGGCUUAGGCAGUGGUGUGCUGGGAAAUGUUUAACAACUGGCUCUCUGGGGGAAAAUGUGUAUUUACAUAUAAUCAAAUGUAAGUCUAUUAUAAAUUUUACUGAGAUACAAAUAAAUAUACAAUUAACAAAUUGAAUAGAAUAUAUAAUACUAUUAAAUACAAUAAUGUAUGAAUACAUUAGUAAUACAGUGCAAUAAAAUACACAAUUCACAAAUAAUAAUAGAACACACAGUCCUCUUUAUUGUAAGCUUUUAUAUAGCUCAUUGAUUCUCACAGACUGCAUUCAUUGAUUUUAUGGAACUCUUUUAUCUAUAGCCAAACUAUGGUUGCAGUUGAUGAAUAAGUAUGAUUCCCAGCAUGAAUGUUGGUUGAUAUUUUCCUUUACAUGAAAGACUAAGAUGAAGGUUAGAACAACAAAGACGUAUGUUGGAAUUUCACUUGUUUGUCAAUGAAGAGAGUCACUUCUUUACUGAAAUCGGACCAUUUUCAGAUACUGGAAGAACAUUUCCUCAAAUUUUGUGCUAUUCACAAUAUACCAGCUAUAAAUGUGAUAUUUGUUUUUUAAGAUUUAUUUAUUUGAGAGAGAAAGAGAGAGAGAGCACACUAGUGGGAGGCACAGAGGGAGGGGGAGAGAGAAUCUGAAGCAGAUGCCCCGCUGAGCACGGAGUGGGCCAGGGGCUCAAUUUCAGGACAUGAGCCAAAACCAAGAGUCAGUCACUUAACUGACUGUGCCACCCAGACACCCCCUACGUGUGACAUAUUUUUAAGUUUAAUCUGCAUUAUUUACAUUUUCCCAUCACUUUCUUAAGCCUGGAGAUAAUCAACAAUAAAUCAAGCCCUGAUUUCUAGCUUUUGCCUAUUAUAUAAAUGCUGUGAUCUCAAACUACCAAUGUGAUGUCAUUGAAUGCAGAAUUGGGACGUGCAUGCGGCUGCGUACCAUUAUGUAGCAUUCUCCACCACUAGUACAGAUACAAUAGAUGGGAAAAACCUCAAGAACAUAGAUAAUAGUAAAUGAGUAGGAGGUGAUGAGCUGUGGGUAUUAUUUUUGGUGUUGAUAAUUAUUUAAUAGUAAGCUUAUAUAAUUUAACUUUUAAUAAGGGGUUGCAAAAUUCUUGAACAGUCUGCUGCUUUUAACAGUCAGUUCUCCCAAGCUGGUACAAGGCAGCUUCAGCACACCCCUGGCUUCCCACCCUCCAACUCCGACCCGCGCUUCCUUAAUGCCCGUGGUGGUGGGGACAGGGCAGACAUACGCCAAUAUGCCUUUUAAAAUACAGAAUCCAGGGCCCUACCCCUGGAGAUCAGUCUGAGGCGAGACGUGAAACUACAAAACCCAGACCUCCCCAGGUGAUUAAGAUGCUUAAGGAGAACUAGGAACUAUUCCUUUGACGAGAACGCUUAUACUCCAAGCUAGCUCUCAGGGUUCGAGGCAGGAGUCCCACGAACGAGAUGUCUUUCUUACCUGGCCUUCUUUUCUGCUCAUAUAUGGUGUCCCUUUGUAGCCCCAUGGGGCAGAGGUUAGAGUGGGGGCUUCAGGUGGGGAAGCGUUCACGUGUUUGAGAUCCUGUAACUCCCAGGGUAUGGUGGCUAGCACCACUGCCUAUCCUACGGAAGUCGAAACCAAGCCAGUUUUUCAGUUCCUAACUAGAAAUUCGACUGUAGAGACCACUGAAAAAGCAGAACUGGAUACGAAAGGUUGUGGGCUGGUUAUUUGGAACCAUGAGGUCUUUUGCUGGGGUUGGCUACUGACUCAUGGGGAAGUUUUCUGUUUCAGUAUUCCACACUGCAGAUAUCUUUGUUUAGUAAAGCCUAACAGCCAAGCAUGCUUGACUCUUGUGCUGGUGUGGAGCUUGCUCAGUAAAGGAAAACGAAUGGUGACCUCCAUCAGUUUUCGAAAUUAGUCCAUGAAAACCUGAAAUUCACAUGAAGAAGAGAUGGAUAUUUUUCCAUAGGGCUUUUUGUUUUUUGAAAAGAUCCACAGAAAGUUCCCUAGAAAAUACCCUUCACAUAGUUUUAACUGGUGCUCACAAAAUCCCUAUUCAUGUAUAUUUUGUAGAAAUACACCUAUAUACAUUACACAUAGGAACCUUACCUUUACCGUACCGUAUCCAGAACCUGUCUUUUUAUAGCUGUGAAAUAGGAAAUGUGGCCCAAAUGAGAGGAACUAGGGGUGACAUCCGAGCAGAAAGGGUAUGUUUGAGGACAGUAACAACACGAAAGACUUUCUUCUUUGCUAUGCUGAGAGUCGCUGAGCCAGCAAUUUUGAAAUCACUUUUGUCCCUGUAACACAUCCUGGCCAAUGAACUUACAAAUGAAAAUUGAGGAACCUCAGCUCGAGUGAAAGUGUUAAACUUUUCUUUUAAAUUCCUGAGAAAUCCAUCAUAAAACAUCUAUGUGAGAGGAAUAAAAUCAUGGCUUGUGGUGGAGCAGGGAGCCAGCGGACAUGAAACCAGAUUAAACUAAGUUCCGCGCACUCGUCACAUUUCUGGUAUGUAUAUUAAUUAGCUGUACCCAGAAUUUCUCAAGGAAAAUGUAAAAAGUCAGUGUCCAGAGAAAAAACAUGAAAAGAAUUUUUCAGGGUUCAUUAGGCAUCAAAUCGUUCCCCUGAGCAGUUUCCAAGCCCUCUGAUGAGCCUGAAGAGCAUUAGCUCACGGGCUGUGCUACAGAGAGGAACAAUAGGAGGUGAUUAGGACAGGACUUAAGCCUUUUUUAAUUUUUUUUUUUUAAAUUAAGUAAUGACAUUUCCAUUUGCAAGCUUACUUAAGCUCUGCGACUGUAUCAUUUCCCAGGGAAAAUGUUUAACUUGAGGUGACAGGCAGACUACUUUGGGUCUGGAUAACAGAGAGUGGAAAAGGAAGCAAGCAAACCCAUGUGACUUGUUUUAUUAAUUUGUUCCUGCUUCACCUUUGCGCUGAGACAUUUUACUCUCUCUUCAUACCUUAGCUUCUCCUGCUUGGAAGUGGGUUCAUAUUCCAUGCAGCAGCACUCUUCUGGAAGAGAACCAAUGGAUCUUCUGGUCCCUUUCCCCACGUUUCCCACCUCUUCCCCUGCCUCCCUGUAUUUGAGAUGUCACACGUGGGGCUUCCUGACUUUCUCUGCCUCUGCACACACAUUCUCUUCCCGUCCCCAAGUGCCAUUUACACUGCUCUCCACCAUCUGGAUUCCUUAUUUCGUGCCCUUCUGCAAAGAGGCCAUGUUCCAGUGAGGCUUCCCGGAUGAUCCUGGUACAGGGCCGAGUACAGAACAAGCACGGCUCGCUCGGAGUGGGAAGAAGGUCAUGGCUGUAAAUCUGGAGAGGCAGACUGGCACCAUGAACUGGCACUGAGCCGAGACUAGUCUCCACAUGCUCUGUAUGCCAUCCCAGCGGCCAAAGAGCAGUGUCAGAUCAAGCACAUGGGGACACAGAAUCUGACUAACUUGUGUGAACUUAGCAGAACUCUCAUUCUUUCAUACAUGAUACCAUUCUGUAUUCACAAUUCUGCUGUCUCUCCUCUUUGGUGGUUCCUUCUCUUUUUUAAGAUAAAGUUCAAAUUUCUUAGCGCAAGGGACAAAGCCCUUUGUGAUCUGGCCCUCCAGCCACUCCCUUAAUUCUGUCCCUCUGCUGUGUUCACAUCAAUCUACCCGUUGUUUGGACUCUUCCAAAAGAACUGCUACUUGUCCUUUGCAGUUCAGGUCAAGCAGUAUCUCUUGGCUUUUGGAUGGAUUUUCUGGGAUCUGCACACCUCUAAAUAAAUGCCUUGCAGACCCUGGAGCACAUACUGCUUUUCCAAUCAUGACCUGAUCUUAUUCACCAUAUUGUGAGCUUCCUGACAGCAGACCAUCUCUAUAUCCCCAGCAAAGUGCCUGCCACAUGGUGAUUCUUCAACCAGUGUUGGAAUGAAUAAAUGAUCUGUUUCAUUACUUAGAAAUUAAAACUAAUGAAUAAGAGGAGGGGGGGGAAGAUAAGAGAUUGUCUCUGAGUUCUAUUCCUAAGGAAUUCAGAAUUUUAGCACUGUUCAGUGACCCAUGAAAGAGAGGCAAGGAAAUACAGCCCCCUUGCCUGUACUUGACGAAUGCCAGAAAUCUGACAACUGACUCAGAGAGUCCUAGGAAUAUAAAGGCUUGAGAAAGGACAAGCCUACUACUCAUGAAGAGCUUGAAAUAAAAAUUAUCAUUAAACAAACACUGAGGGAGAGCUGCCUUCAGUAAGAAAUAAUGCCCUAAGAAUGCAUCAGGAUUCAGAACAAAUAAAUCUAGGUAAAGAAGAGAUUGUAUCUAAGGGAACAUGUUUUGUUAGCUGAAAAUUUAGGAAGGAUGAUUCAUAGUUCUGGGUUACAAAGUACAGUAGGUAAAUCAGUGAUAUGGCAGCAAAGAAUCCAUAGCUUCUUAAAAUAGUGUGCUUUUAGCUCGAGGGAAAGAAAGGUAUUUCACUCAGUAGGAUAGCAUGUAUGCCGCAUAGCCAUUUGGUAGAAAAGGUCAAAGAAAGUAUCAAUGUAUAGAACUCUUUCCCAGUUGGCCAUAGACCUCUGAGUGACCUCGAGCAGCCAGAAGCUCUAUCAAACAGCUCCCUUAUGUUGGUUUCCCCCCAAAGGUGGUGUUACCCUGUGGAUGUGCUAGAUUGCACAAGGAUGAUUCCAACCUGACUUACACUAGUUCCCAGCUCAGCCCCACCCUGCUCCAAGAGGAUUAAAGAUGGAAAAGACCCGAAGGGCAGAGAACUAAACAUUCAACACUCAAUGCUCAGCAAUGUUUAAAUAAGCACUGAAAAGAGGCCCAGUUCUAGGCCUUGGGCCCUACUGGCAAUGAGUUUAGAAUCAAGAUAGCCUUAUGAAUUUGCAUUACUACCUUUCUGGAGUGAACUGGCAGGAACUCUCCUGGUAGACAGAGUCUUGUUGAGUUUGGGAUUUUUUAUUUUUUUAAAGAUUUUAUUUAUUUGACAGAGAGAGACACAGCGAGAGAGGGAACACAAGCAGGGGGAGUGGGAGAGGGAGAAGCAGGCUUCCUGCAGAGCAGGGAGCCUGAUAGGGGGCUCGAUCCCAGGACCGUGGGAUCAUGACCCAAGGCAGCCGCUUAACGACUGAGCCACCCAGGCGCCCUGAGUUUGGGAUUCUUAAUGGACCUAUUUUAAAAAUGAAUGAGCACGUUGUCUUUUCUGUGCAAAGAUCUCCCGGGGCUAGGAUUGGCCUCGGUGAAAGGUGCUAAGGCACUUGCUUUUGAGGAGGACAGCUGGGACAUUGGAAUAGGGCAGUCGGAACCUCAGAGUGGCUGUGUUUUCAAGAUCCCUGGAGACACAGCUUAUUUCCCUAAACUAGGUUUGGGAAUGGCUCUCUGCCUGGUCUCUCCUCAUCCAGGAUCAUCUGAAUAUUUUCUACCCCAAACGGCAUCAAUACACUGACAGGUCAGUAGGUGGCAAAGAGAUCCCAAGCUGGUCAUGUUAUCUUCAUGAUUCUAGGCUUUUGCUGGCAGAAUCAUCCUAAUUUAUACCACUGCCACGAAGUGCUUGUGUUUGUCUGUGGUAAUAUAUGCCCUAAAUAAUGCAGGAGAAUUCAGCAGGUGGUAGAGAGGGCGCUGGCCGCUAGCUCUGGUCUUGGCUCCUUGGAACUGCUACUGACUGGCAGAUAAACUGAUUCUCACCUAAACACACACACAUCAAGGAAGCUCAGUCCUCAGAUCUGCCUAUUACCCUGUAUCUGUCAUGGUUUCUAGAACUUAGCUUAGAGCCAGACUGCCUGAGUUUGUACCCCGUUGCACUGCUACUUCAUGACACAGUUUAAGCUACUCAACCUCUUUAUGCCUUUUUCCUCACCCAACAAAUAGGAGUCAUGAUUAUAAUACUUACUCAUAGGAUUCUAAAGAGAAUUGAAUGACUUAAUACAUGGAAAUUGUGUGUUAGGCACGAUUAUUUUUACGCCCUUUGGGAGUGCGUGAAUUCUCCGAUCUUCAACCUCGCAGUUACAAAGCAUAGAACAUACAGCUGAAAGAAAUAUGACUGGUAUUAUCUAGCCAGCUUCUCAUUUGUUAAGAGGAGAAAACUAAAAUCCAGAGGAAAGACAGGUCUUUCCCCAAAGUCAAAUGGCUAUUAGGGAAAGACUGAGAACUAGCUGUCCACAGGUCCUGGGCAAUGAAAGGAACAGAUUUCCAUGGACUAAAUUGGACAUUUCCUAGAUGAACCAGUCUUGCCUGCUUAGACCUUCUGAAUGGCCAUAAUGUGGGGGACUUUAUAGUUUAAGAAUAUAAUGCCAAAAUCCAAGCGUUGUGAGCUCAGAAGAAGACAUAAAGAUUUCAGGGGCAACAUUAGAAAUGGCAAGUGGCCAGAGCUCCCAUACUUCGAGGGCCGUGGGACUUUGGAGGUAACUGAUGGCUAAGUAGCGAUCGAGGGAGGCUGCCUAGGAGGAGCUAGAAGUGGAUUUGCCAGCAAGGGCUAAAAAUAAAGACCUGUGUGUUGCAUGUGCAUAUAUAGUGUGGCAGCACAGUAGUGAAGUUGGCUUCACCAGCCAGCCAGUGACAUGGGCGCCUUUAUUUUAUGGUCCCGUUUCACAUAUUGUCUACACAAAAUCCCCCCAGCCCACCCCAAGACCAUGACUGUCCUUGUCAACCCAAGUAGGCAUUCUGGCCCCUCUUUACUGCCUCUUCCUCCUUGCAGCAUCUGUGGCUCCUUGACGAUGCUCAGAGUUCAUUUCCGUGUAAUCAAACCUGGAUACAAAGAUCGAGAUGGGGCACAGAGGACAACAGCCAUGGCAGGAAGAGAAGUAUUUAAAAUCACCCCUAGAAUAAAAGCAGUCCACAGGCCCGAAUGCUUUCUUUAGGGGAAUUGUGCACAAUUACUUUGACAUGGUGUCACGCAGACUCAUUCCAAUGGAAUCCAGUUAGACGGUCCUAAGACUUCUGCUCCAGCUGUGGACAUGUGUUUUGAUUUACAUUGUGCUUGGAUGGACCAUGUGUAUGCUUCGUUCCUGUGGAAGACGUAAUUUGCAACAGAAGACUUGGAAUAGAAGCAUCUUUCUUGCAAAAUUAUUAAAAAAAAAAAAAGAUUUCCUUAUUUAUUCCAAAAUCUUCAACUACCCUUUAGAUAGGUACCAUUUCAAGUAGUUAACCCGGUGUGAUUCUCAACCCUGGGUCUAUAACAGCCUCACCUGGGUGGAACAUUAAUCCCUUCCACUUCAUCCAGGAGAUGAAGAUUUCAUUCCCAGAGACUCCCAGUAUGUCUUAGGUGGGGGCCUUGGGAUGGAUGGAUGGAUGGAUAGAUAGAUAAAUAGAUAGAUAAAAAAAAAAAAACAAAAAAACACUGAUGAUCUUGAGGCUCAGCCAUGGUUGAGAACCACUAUGUUAAACAAUGUGGUCUUUUAAAGGCAAUUUGCUUUAAUGAUAAAUAAUAGAUACACCUAAGGACAGCAAGAGAAGAUGCUCACAGAAAUAACAAAUAAUGCCCAUGGUCACAAGAGGGCUUGCUUCAUGAUUAUAACCAACUGCUCCCUUAUUUCAUGGACUAGUUUUGACUUUAUAUAAAGGUAAGUGCUAUAAAACUCUGUAAAAUUCCAUUAUGUUUUUGAGAUCAGACACAUGGGGCAAAGUCACCUCCAGCUGGUAAAAAAAAAAAAAAAAGGACCACCAUUUUACUGACUAAAUUGAGGCUCACAUGGAAAGCUGGUGUCCAUUAGUCCACAAAUAAGUGGUUAAUUAUCUGGCUAGUGGUUGGCUGGUUCCUGGUAAAUACAGCCUCAGUUAGAGAUAGACCCAAGAUUAAUGGGGUUGCUCGGCAUGUACAACAGAUAUACAAUCUGGUAACAGCCACUUACCCUCUGCUAGCUACCCUUCCCAUGCUUUACUAACAUCACCUCAAAAUACCUCUACAAGGUAGGUGGUAUUCCCAUCUUAUAAAUGCGAAAAUAGGUACAGACAUCUGCCCACCACUGAGUUGGUUGCCGGGAUUGGAAAUCAGAUCUGCAUGGCCCCAAAGCCACGCUGCAACCACUACACCAUCUGGUCUCAUCCCUGCCCUGCAGAGGGGGCCAUAUUGGAACAGCAAAGACCACGGGGCUGACAGCCAGGCAAGCACUCCAGAGAAAUAUGACAGACUUUCACACAAGAUGUGUUCAUGCGACACGUUAUAGCAAAAGGCCAAAUAUUCUUGUAAACAGGGCAGUGAUGACUGAAGAACUUUAUUAAAAAUAUUACAAUAAACAUGUACAGUGGAGUGUUAACAUCUGUUAAAGCUAGGUGAUUUUAUUGACCUAUUUUUCUGUAUGUUUGAAAUAUUUCAUUGCUCAUCAUUGUUGGGCGAAGGGAAAUGGAAGCAAGCUGAUAAGCUCUUCUGCAUUAUGAAUUAAUCAGAUAGUUUUGCAAAAAUUGGACCAGAUAUUUGCUGAUAUGACCUCAACAAAGAGAGAAGGUAGGGAAAGGAAUGUUUGCUAAUUAACUACCAAGGAAAGAGAAAUGUGAGAAAUAAUUAAACCACCUGGUUCUCUGUGUGCCUCCAAAGCCUUCUCCCCAUGUAUCUCUUCCAGCUAAUGGCUGAGAGCAAUUAGCCAACAAUACAUCUAGUAGAAAAGAGAUCUUGUUAAGUUUUGAGCUCCAUGCCAAUUGUGGGUGUACUGUUUUCACAAAUUACAUUAGUGCUCAUGGACUGGAAUUGCAGUGCUUUACAUAUUCAAAAUUAGACCAGCUGUGCCCAGUGGUCGUUCGGUCUUUGGCGUGAAACUCAAAGGCAGUCCUUGGCUAGGAGAAGAGUCUUCUGGAUUCCAGCAGCUUUUGUUCAACACAGGGCAUAUCUUAUUUACACUUCCUUCCAAGUUCAGUGUGACACAGGAGAUUGUGUUUUGAUUUUGACUCUUGGUCCAUGAAAAUCAUAAAUGAAGUUCAAAUUCCUACCUUUGCACUUCAGAAGACCUGGCACAUCUCAGCCAAUGUGGUUGCAUGUGCAGUAUAUAUGAGGAGUAGCCUUUUAUGUCUUAAUGUGGGCACAUUCUUCUUUCAAUCCCACCUAGGGUUACGUAGAUGCUGAGGCUUCUUCGGCAGCGGAUUUGUAUCUUCGGGUUUCUGAGUGGUUGGUGAUUUCGUGUGACACUCUUCAUGGAGAGUAAAUGCCAAACGUAUUUUGUGCAUCUUAUCAUCAUCAAUUUGUCUUGAGACACAGAAGUUUAGUAUUUAAUUUUUCACUAAAUGUACACUUUCAGUUUAGUUAAAAAUUUAUGACUUUUUGUUGCCAAAAGAAUUUAUUGCAGGGGCGCCUGGGUGGCUCAGUGGGUUAAGCGUCUGCCUUCGGCUCAGGUCACGAUCUCAGGGUCCUGGAUCCUGCCCCGCGUCAGGUUCCCUGCUCAGUGGGGAGCCUGCUUCUCCCUCUCUCUUUGCUCCUCCCCCUGCUCAUGCUCAAGCGUGCUCUCUCUCUCUCACACACACACACACUCUGUCUCUCAAAUAAAUAAAAUCUUUAAAAAAGAAUUAAAGUAUUGCCAAACAAUAAAAUAAAUGGUUGUAGAUUUAUACUCUAUGAUUAAUGACAAAAUCACUGCACGAGGCCAUUAUGACUACUCCAUAGAAAUUCUUCAGUAGAAUUGGGCAGCCGCUAUUUCCCGCACAUAAUUCGUAAAUCCCUAACCUAUGAUUUCCAUUUUCCUCUGACCUCAGUGAAUGGUGGCCUGGCAUUGUCAUCCAUCUCAUAGACUUUGGCAAGUCCCGCACACAGCUAACUGCUACAUCAAGGGGCCAGCAGGGAUGGGAACAGCAUCAAACGGGGGUCCCACCAUCACUGGAGACCAGAAGGAAUUAAAUUGUCCCUCACCCCCUCUAUCUGAGCUCUUGAAUAAGACAUGUUAAUUAUAUUGAGUAGAAGCCUGAUUCCACUUGCAUGCAAUUCUGCAACAGGUAAAACUAACCUAUGGUGGAGAGAAAUCUGAGCAUGUGUUGCCUCUGGAGCGUGAGGGCAGAGAUGGCUGGGAAGGGGUAGGAGGGAAAUUUCUCGGGUGAUGGUCAUGAACUAUAGCUUGGUAGGUUUGGGUUAAACAUCUGUAUGCAUUUGUCAAAUCUCAGUGAAUGUAUACUUAAGAUUUGCACAUUUCAUUGUAUAUAAAUUAUAUGUGAAAACACCAUAAUAUGCAUGAUGAAGUAUUUGGGGUGAUGUGUAGGUAGAUAAGGUGAUAAGGUAGAUUGAUGGAUGAAGAGAAUAGAUAUAUAUGUGAAAAAAUAAGCAUAAGAAAAUGGUAAUGAUAGAAUGUAGGUGGUGGAUAUACAGUGCUCACUAUGAAAUUAUUUCAACUUCUUAUUUGCUUGAAAAUGUUUAUAAUAAAAUGUUGGGGGAUUAAGCAACUUUCAUGUGUAUAGUGGUCCAGAGGGUAGAAAGGACGCCCCUUGUCUGUUCAGCUGCAUCUGUACCCACAGAUAACAAUUCUCAUUAGUAUAUUUUACACACACACACACACACACACACACCAUAUUUAAAGGAGCUACACCAAAAAUUUAGCCACAGUUACCUUUGGAUGGCAAACCACAGAUCUUUUAUGUAUUUUCUUAUUUUUGUUGGCCUAUAUUUGUCAGUUUUCUACAAUGAACAUUUGUUUAUUAUGCCGUAUUAUAAAUUUUCAAAGGUGUUCUUUUUUUUAACUGCUUUUUAAUAAAAACAAACAUUUUUUUUCCCACUUGGGUAGAAAUACUUUAUAUUGACUUUUGGGUUAACCUCUGCCUCUUGAAUUACUUUUCCGUGGAGCAUACUUGGAUAAUUUUUCAAAUUGUGGUAAGAGGCACAUAACAGAUAAUUGAGCAUUGUCACCAUUUUUAAGACUACAGCUCAGCGGCACUAAGCACAUUCACAGUGAUGUGCCACCAUCACCCCCAUCCGUCUCCAGGACUUUUUCCAUUGUGCACAACUGAACUCUGUGUCCAUUAGAUAGCUAUUCAUUUUUCCCUCCCCACCCCCAGCCCUUUUCAACCACCAUCCUACUUUCUGUCUCUAUGAAUUUGACUACCCUAGGUACCUCAUGUGUGUGGAAUCCUACGGUAUUUGUCCUUUAAUGACUUGCUUACUUCACUUACCAUAUAUCCUGAAGGUUCAUCCAUGUUGGAGCAUGUGUCAGGAUUUCCUUCCUUUUUUUUUAAGGUGGAGUGAUAUUCCAUUGUAUAAGUAUUUGCUAUUUUGUUUAUCAGUUCAUCUCUCCAUGGACACAUCACUUUCACCUUUUGACUCUUGUGAAUAAUGUUGCUAUGAACAUGGGUACAUAAAUAGCUCCUUGAUUCUCUGCUUUCAGUUCUUUGGGGUGCAUACCCAAAAGUAAAAAUGUUAGAUCUAUCUUGAAUUCUUUGAGGAGCUGCUAUAGUGUUUUCAAUGGUGGUAGCACCACUUUGCAUUCCUACCAACAGUGCACAGAGUUGCAAUGUCUCCAUAACCUUGCCAAUGCUUGUCAUCUUCUAUUUUGUUUUAUAAUAGCAUCCUAAUGGAUAUGAAGUGUUAUCUCAUUGUGGUUUUGAUAUGCAUUUCCCUAAUGAUCAGUGAUGCUGAGCAUCUUUUCAUGUGCUUAUAGGACAUUUGUGUAUCUUCUUUAGAGAAAUCUCUUCUUUCCAGUCCUCUGCCUAUUUUUAAUUGGGUUGUUUGUCUCUUUGUUGUUGAGUUGUAGGCAUUCUUUGUAUAUUCUGCAUCUUAACCCCUUAUCAGAUAUAUAACUUGCAAAUAUUUUCUCCCAUUCUUUGGGGUGCCUUAUUACUCUAGUUGAUUGUGUCCUUUGAUGUAGUCCCAUUAUUUUUUUCUUGUUGUCUGUGACUUUAGUGUUAUAGCCAAGAAAUCAUUGCCAAAUCCAAUGUCUUAAAGCUUUCCCCCUAUGUUUUGUUCUAAAAGUUUUAAAGUUUUGGUCUUAUAUUUAGGUCUUUGACUCAUUUUGAGUUAUUUUUUUAUAGAUGAUAUAAAAAAGGGUUCACUUUCAUUCUUUUGCAUGUGGAUAUCCAGUUUUCUCAGUACCAUUUAUUGAAAAGAAUGUCCUUUUCCCAUUGAAUGGUCUGAGAACUGCUGCCGAAAAUCAUUUGAUCUUCUAUGUGUUUCUGAACUCCCUAUUCUAUUCCAUUGACUAUUUGUCUGUCUUUAUGCCCACCUCACACUGUUUUGUUUACUACAGCUUUGUAAUCAGUUUUGAAAUUAGGACGUGUGAGACUUCCUGGUUCUUCUUUUUCAAGAUUGUUUGGCUCUUUGGGGUUCCUUUAGAUUUUAUAUAAAUUUUAUGGAUUUUUCUAUUUCUGGAAAAUACAUCAUUGGGAUGUUGAGAGGGAUUCAAUGGAAUGUUGAACCUGUAGAUCACUUUGAAUGGUAUUAACAACAUUAUGUCUUCUAAUUCAUAAACACUGGAUGUCUUUCCACUUAUCGGUGCCUUCUUAAUUUCUUUCAGCGAUAUUUUGGUAUUUUUCAGUGUUUAAGUCUUUUGCCUCUGUGGUUAAGUUUAUUACUAAGUAUUUUAUUCUUUUUGAUGAUAUUGUGAGUGGAAAUAUUUUCUUAAUUUCCUUUGAAAUUGUUCAUUGUCAGUAUAUAGAAAUGCAACUGAUUUUUGUGUGUUGAUUUUGUAUCCUGCAACUUUGCUGAAUUUGUUUACUAGUUCCAACAUUGUGUGUCUGAUAUUUAGGGUAUCUACAUAAUCAUGCCAUCUGCAAACAAAGAUAGUUUUACUUUUUCCUUUCCAGUUCAGAUGCCUUUUAUUUCUUUUUCUUGUCUAAUGGCUCUGGCCAGGACUUCUAGUAUUGUGUUGAUUAGUAGUGGCAAAAGUGGGCAUUCUAGUCUUAUUGCUGACCUCAGAGGAAAACCUUUCAGUCUUUCACCAUUGAGUAUGGUAUUAGCUGUGGGAUUUUCAUAUAUGCCCCUUAUUAUGUUGAGAUCAUUUCCUUAUGUUGAGGUCAUUUCCUUCUAGUCCUACUUUGUCCAGAGCUUUUUCUUUAUUGUGAAAGGGUUUUGAAUUUUGUCAAAGGCUUUUUCUGUCCUAUUUGUGAACAUCAUUUGGGUUUUCCCCCCUUCCUUUGGUUAAUGUAGUGGAUUAUGCUGAUUGUUUUUCAUAUAUUGAACCAUCUUUGCACUUCAGAAAUAAAUCCUACUUGGUCAUAGUGUAAAAUCCUAUAAUAUGCUGUUGGAUUCUGUUUACUAGUAUUAUGCUGAAAAUGUUUGCAUUAAUAUUCAAUAUUGGUCUAUGGUUUUCUUUUCUUGUGGUUUGUCUAGCCUUGUUAUCAGAAUAAUGCUGGCCUCAUAGAAUUAAUUUGAAAAUGUUUCCUCUUUUUCUAUUUUUUUGGAAGAGCUUGAGGAAGAUUAGUGUUAAUGCUUCUUUCAGUGUUUGCUAGAAUCAACCAAUAAAGCCAUCUGGCCCUGAGCUUUUCUUUGUUAAAAGGUUUUUGGUUAUUAAUUCAAUCUCUUUUUUAGUUAGGGUUCUGUUCAGAUUUUCUACUUCUUCAUGAUUCAAUCUUGGUAGGUUUUGUGCUUCAGGAAUUUGCCCAUUAAAUACAAAUUUUAAAGAGGUAAUCAAUGGUAUAAUUGGUGAGAAAUUUUGCUUUCACUCUUAUCCAUUCAGCUCCUCCCUUCUUCCACAGGUAACCAAAGAAUAUUCAUUUGUUGGGUAGCUUUCCAGUGUUUUAUAUACUAUUACUAUAAACUGAAGAUAUACCCGUUUUCCCUCUUUCCCUCCCAAAAGUUUUUUUUUUGUUUUUGUUUUUGUUUGUUCAGGGUUUUUUUUGUUUUGUUUUUUACUUAAGAAUGUAUUAUGAUGCUCUCUCCAUUGUGAGCUUCCAUUGUGUGAAUGAACCAUUACUUUAUUGUUGAAUGAAAUGUCUCUGGAUUUAGAAUUUUUUUUAAAGAUUUAUUUAUUUAUUUGAGAGAGAGAGAGUGCACCAGGUUGUGGGGGGGGGGAGGGAGGAGGGGAGAGAGAAUCUCAAACAGACUCCGCACUGAUCAAGGAGCCUGAUGCAGGGCUCAAUUCUGUGACCCUGAGAUCAUGACCUGAGCUGAAACCAAGAGUUGGAUGCUUAACCAACUGAGCCACCCAGGCACCCCUGUAUUUAGAAUUUUUAAAUGACAGAACUGCUGCCUCAGCAUUUUAAAGAUACUAUAUCAUUGCUUACUGGCAUGCGUUGUUGCUGAUAAAAAAUCAGGGAUCCUGAGCCAGGUGCUUUGCAUACAUUGUUGUUUUCUUCAGUCAUCAUACAAACCCCAUUUUAUAAAUAAGGGGACCAAGGUUUAGAAAGUCUGACAAGUUUGUUCACAGUCACACAGCCAGUAAUCCUGAUUGCUCAUUACUUUUCAAGUAAUCUCUUUUAUUUCUGGUUGUUUUUCAUUGUCUUUGACAUUUUUCAUUUUCCUCACAAAUUGUUUAGGUGUGCAUUUAUUUUUAUUUAUCCUGAUCAAGACUUUUCUGUACAUUUUCUGAGAACUGAAAACUUGUGUCUUUCUUCAAUUUUGGAAAUUUCUGAUCUAUUAUCUUUUUUUAAAUUAUCACUUUAUCCCCAUUUUCUCUCUUCUCAAUUUCUACCUUUUGGAGUUCUUAUUAAACAAAGCCUGAUACAUUGUAAAAAUCCAAAAAACACCAUUUAUAUUAGAUUCCUGGUGAAUGGAAUAACCUUUAGAAUCAUGCAUCAUGGCAGCCUGAUUUUGUAUCUGCUGAUUUUCUCAAUCUAGCUUUCAUAUUUCCUAUCUGUUCCUUUGUAUUUGCCAUCUGCUCUCUGUGAUAUAAUCCGUGUAGUUUCCUCAGCUCUGUCUUCCAAUUCACUAAUUUUCUCAGCAGCUCUAAUAUCCUGUAUAUUCUUUAUUUUAUUGACUGAAUUUUCUUUUGAUUCUUUUGCAAAUCUGUCUUUUCUUUUGCUGUACUGUCCUUUGCUUUCACUAUGGAUCUUAUUUCUUCCUUCCUCCAUUCUUAAAACUCUUUAGUUAUUUGAAACAUACUUAUUUUUUUUGUCCCUUCUAGAUUGUUUUACCAAGUUCAACACCUGAGGUGCUAAUUCUUUUGUUUAUGAAACCUGAUGACUCUCUCUAAUGGUAUUUACUUACUCACAUAGUUUAUCAUUUUUCCUCUUUUGAUGUUGUGAGCUUAUCUUCAGCAGAAGGCCCAUGUCUGUUUUAGUUUCUGCUUCUAGGGCUUUCAGUGGUUCUAUACCUGUUUUAUACUAAUUCCUUGGGUAGGCUUUUCAUCCAACAUAAGAGAUAUAAAUUCAAAUACCACACCUGUGUUUUCUUUUUAUUUUUUUUUUAAUUUUUUAAAUUUUAUUUUAUUGUGUUAUAUUAGUCACCAUACAUUACAUCAUUAGUUUUUCACACCUGUGUUUUCUAUAGGCUGGGAGUGUUUAUAUCUCAAGUGCAACUCUUUUCUUCAGCUAUGACCUUGGCACACGCCAGGCUUCCUUGAUCUGUUUUUGCAUUUUUAUACAAAUAAUUGUAUUUUCAUACAAUAGAUAAACUCUUGAAAAUUUUCAUGAAAAUCAGUCAUCUUUUAAAUGCUAUCGUAGAUGUUUUCAAAACUAAAUAAUCACCUUCUAAGUGAUCCAACAAGUAGGGUGUUAUUUUAAAUUUAAUUUGGUAUUGCCCAUUUACCUAAGAGGGGAAGUGAAUGGCCUAUCUUCCUGGACCCUCUGUACCCACACCACCCACCCUCAAACAGCAAGUUCAGCAAAAGUUUGAAUGUUCCAGUGACUCUCACCUGUCAUUAAAACUCACUGCGAGAAAAACAAGCUAAGGUUUUGGAUUUGCAGAUGAAUUCAGAGGUAGCUUGGGAGUUUGAGAUUUUCUAACUGUGGGUCCCCUAGGCCCUCUUUUUUGGUGGGGUUGACAGCUUCUUGUGAAAAGCCAAGAUGCCUCUGCUUGGGGUGUGGCUCCCAAAUUUGUGUCUGUAAGUGGCAUGACUCAUUUGUUGGGCUCACUUAAUAUAAAGUGGUGGGAAGUUGUGGGAAGUGAGCUACUUACCAGGAGAAAAAUAUAGUACUUUGGGGAUUUCUAAUGGCUUUCCUGAGACAAGGUGUCUGCUGAGCUGAACCGGCAUUAGCACUUUGCAUGGGUGGGUUCUGUGUCUGACAGAAGACCUGGAGCUGGUAUCAUCUGGUGAUUUCCACUAGGGAGGAAGCUCACACUGACUGAACACCAUGUGUGGGAUCCUGAGCCAGAUGCUUUGCAUGCAUUAUUGUUUUUUUUUUAUGUUCAUACAAACCCCAUUUUGUAAAUAAGGGGACAAAAGUUUAGAAUAUUUGACAGACUUAUUCACACUCACAAAGACAGCAAGUAGGUAAUGGAGCUGGGAUUUUAAAAUUCAUUCUCCCUCUGCAUCCACGGGGCCUGGAAGGAUGUACAAUAAACUCAUGAAUUCACUUCAUUGCUGGGAAAGUAUGUGAAGGGCUUAAAUUAACAACUGUACUUCCUUAAGAAAAAUUAAAGAGAAAUUGUGUGCGGUGAAGGGAAUUUUUUUUCUAGCAAACAUUUUUUAUCACUUUGUCUGUACUUCCUGUGUCUGAUGCUCUGUCUUCCUGGUGAGACUGGGCCCAGCAUGAAUAUUCUUGUGCUCCAUAAAUCUUACUUGUCUCCAAGAAAUUCUCUCCGUCCCUGUACCAGGCUGAAUUCUGAUGCCCAGGAUGAGCCCAACAGACGUCAAAUUAGUGUGUCAUUUUAUGAGUGAGAGCCUCUGAGCUAACUCCCAUGAGCCAUGACUCACUGGACUUCUAAUUAUAACUUGUCCUGGCUCCUCAGAUAAUGGAUUUGUCUCAAUGGUUUCCAGGGACAGAUUAGAUCAAUCCUGUAUUUUGUGAGUCUUGGGUAUUCAGCCAACCCAUGUUGUUCUUUGUGUAAAUGGAGGAGAGAUUGACAUGCACUCCAGAGUUUGAGUGGGGCCUCUAAAGUUUUCACAGUAACUUAACAAUACCUCUUAGCAGGUGUGCCCAGGGUUCAGAUGUCAGUGGUAGAGUUUGGUAGUUCUGCUUCAGGUCUCAACACUAGAGUGUACAAGUCCUAAAAGAGCUUUGGCACCACGAGGACAUGAAUACCCCAUGGCCAUGAUGGUGGUGAUAGGUAAACAGACUUUAAACCCCACAGAACCAGCAACUCAGGGAACACCAUAGGCAAGAGCAGUGGGGGAAAGAAAGGGCAGAGCACAGCAGGAGAGAUAAGAUGUCAUCUGACCUGCGGAAACUGACAGAAGUCCCAUCAGCAUAUGUGGAGCAUCUUUGGGUUACCCUUGGGAGUAACUGGGGAGAACACAAGGGCCUCUGAAACCCAGGCUGCAUUGACACCAAGUGCUGAGACUAGAAGGGACCCGAGAGGCUGUCCACUUAAUUGGCCUGCUUUACAGACCAACCACAGCUCAGAGAGGCUCAACAGUUUUCCAACAUUGCACAGCUAAUUAGAACUCACUACUUUCCAGCCCCCCAAUUAACACCUUCAAUGUCCAAUAAAUAUCCAAGUUUUUUCUCCAAAAUUAAAAGAUUUUCUUGUGUUUCCCAUUCAGUUGACUAAAACUGAAGGAGUGUUUUGGGGCCAUUUAAGAAGAUAUGGACAGGAUAAUCCAGUGGUAUGUUUCCAACUGUAGCAGCUUCAGAACAUGAUGCCACGUCUAAAGCUCUGGAUCUCUACCAUUCAUACAGAACUUUUUAUAGCAUGAUCGAAGCUCAGGAGUCAGAGGAUGAUCCUGCUCUGAGCCCUUUCCCUUUCUGUCCUGCCUAUUGCCACUACUUCACCUCCACACCACAGAUGCCUUAUCAACACCUAUCGAAUCACUCCCUGGGAUAGCUUGUGAUGGGGUGAGGGUGAGGAAGAACCUGAAGAAGGGCAGAGGGACCUGGGAACAAGUCUCAGCCUGAGUCAAACUUGAAAGAGACCAAGACCAUGUGCUGAGUAUAGAGGGUCAGAGUCCAAGUAGAACCUCGAGAGCAGGGCAGAGUUUGAGGGAGAAUAGGAACGACCAAGAGAGGAGGGUCUAGGCCUAGAAGAGCAGAGAGUUAUCUUUUCUUUCUGGUGUCAAUACUCAUCAGCUAAUUAGAGCUUCCAGAGCAACAGAUUAGGGACCAAGCUUGGUGGGAUGGCUCUGUGACAGGCCAGUGGUGUCUGCUCUGGACAACAAAGGAAGAGUAAAUGCUGUAUAUUUGCAGUAUAUGGUAGCAUUGCCAAAUGGUUAAGAGUGCAAGCUCUGCAGACCUUCUCAUCGCUACCCCUCAUGACUGGUGACCUUGGACAAGUCACUUACCUCUUCAAUUUCUCAUUUUCCUGAUUUGUAAAAUAGGACAAAAACCCAUAAAUAUGUUGUGAACAUCAAAUGCAAUAACAAAGGAACAUGGUCUAGAACAAUGCCUGAGACACAGUCAGCACUAAAUAAAUGUUAACUAAUUGCAGUGCUAUCCCUGCUCUUGGACUAUUACCAUGAAUUGCUUUGGGGUAUCUGCGAUAUGUAAGGAUGAGGAGUGCAUUUAAAAGGAAAAAUAAAAUAAGGUGAAAACAGAGAGGGAGGCUCUUAACUAUAAGAAACAAACUGAGGGUUGCUGGAGGGGAGGUGGGUGGGAGAAUGGGGUUAUUGGGUGAUGGGCAUUGAGGAGGGCACGUGAUGUAACGAGCACUAGUGUUGUAUGCAACUGAUGAAUCCCUAAAUUCUACCUCUGAAACUAAUGAUACAGUGUAUGUUAAUUAAUUUGAAUUUAAAUUUAAAAAAUUAAUAAAAAAUAAAUAAAUAAAAAUAAAUAAAAGGGUGUUAAUUGGACAUAGCAAACAGGGUGUUAAUUGGACAACUUUUCUCUCUUUUUCUUUUUGACAAUACCUGAGGCAUUUUGAACCUAAAGUAUUUAAAACAAAACUUAAAAGUAUGUUUUGAACUGAAUGCUGGGGGGGGUCUGGGGGGGAUGCUCUCAAAACAAUGUGGAUUUCAUAAAAACAGCCUCCACCUAAUCCACAUUGGUGCUAAGUAUGGGCUUUUGUUUAAACCACUGGUGCUGCUUAAUUAGCUUACUCUAUGGUUAUUUUUAAUCUGCAAACUUUUGAAAAUCUUCCCCCUGCCCUGGAAUUGGGAAAUGUGGGGAUCGGAGUGAAGAAGCUUUAACCAAGCAGGCUUGGACCUCAGAUUGUGUAAGACUUUGCUGUGUACAAAGCAAAUAGGGAUUGAAGCUGGCUUGACCUCUUCUCUGAACUCCACUUGGUUGCCCUAAGACCUGGCAGCUCACGGGUCCACCACUCACUUCAGGUCUGUCAACCAGAGGCUGUUUGUUGGCUCACACCCUGUGUACUUCAGUCCAGGUGGGGAGGAAGUGUCCUCUCAUUCUCUCCUGCCCCUUUACGCUCUCUUGCUAACCAACCUCUCUCUCUCUCAUCCUCUCUUAUCUCAGCCUACAUUCCGGGGUCCACCAUUAUAAUCACUCCCUUGCAAAUACCCCCAACUCCCCUGCCUCACCCUGUGCCCUAUUCGUCUGGCAAAAGCCCAACUCAUCAAUGAAUCCUACCUUCUACCUCCCACCUUCUCUAUGCCUCUAUCUGAACAACUAGACAUCACAGGAGAAAAUCAAGGAAUGAAGUUCACUGGUGUCACUUAAAAUUCAUGAUCAAAAGUCUCAAAACAAUCCUCCCACUUUUCUCUAGAAGUCUAGGCUUUGUAGUUCCCAGGUGACUAUUUUGUACUCUCUUCCUUUACCUUUUCUGGGGGUCCUGCCUGUCCCAUACUUCACUAAGAAAAUAUAAGUGACCAGACAUGUCCUACUUUCAUUCCCCUAACAAAAAAACUACAAACCUGUCUACAUGGCAUCCAUCUCCUCUUAACCUCCUGUUUCAAAACACAAAUUGUCUCCCAUUUCACCAAAGACCACUCUCUCCUGCCUCCUCUCUUCUCUCAAGGACUUUGGUGCUUUACCUACGGCCUUCCUUCCUGCAUCCCCAAUGUUUCCCCUUCUGCCAUGUUAUUCCCAUCAUUACAUAAAUAUAAUGUAAUAGUAUUUAUCUUAAAAAAACAACAGUCCCCCAUUAACCUAACAGCCCCCCCAUCAAUUCUGCUCUUCUUAGCCAAAAUUCCCCCAAAUUCCCACAUACUCUAUUGCAUAUCUUCCCCUGCUUAAGCUUCAGUUCAGUCCAGACUGCUUUCCAUUCCCACUUCUUAACUGAAGUCAUUUUUGUGAAAGUCAUUGUCAGUCUGUAAGCCUCCUGGGAGCUUCCCCAGGUGUAACCUGAAGCUGGCCUCCCUAUGCAGAGGGCAGGAAGAGACCAAAGAAAGAGGCCACCACUCCAGGGUGGAAAGUGGCAGUUUUAAUAAGCAAAGGGGACAUACUUGGGCAGCAGCAAGAUGAAUGGACCCUGCUGCUGAAUCUGCUAAGUUUAUAAAGGGGCCUUAGUUGGCUUCAGUCAUGAAUAUUGCACACAGACACCGUUCUCAACACCACUUCACCAUCUUACGGCCGUGUCCUUGUAGCAGCCUCAGGGAGAAGGAAAGGCAAGUGGCACUCACAUCCCCCCAGUAUCCUAACCCCCCCAGUAUCCUAACCCAUAGGGUAUACAAGGUCAGCCCUGGACCUUUCCUAUGGACAUACUCAUUUCAAGGCGUUAAAGGCUGUCUAUGUUGGUGGAACCAUCUCUAUGUUGAUAGCUCCCAAAUUCAUAUGUCCCACUUGGGUGGAUAGUUCUCAUGAGGUCUAGACUAUAAUAAUAUUAACAAUAGUAGCAACAGCAAAAGUAACUAAAACCCAACUGUUGACCACAUGCCAGGCCUGUUUGAAACGCUUUACAUGAUGGAAUCAUUGAUCUUCAUCACAUACCUUUGGAGUAGGUACAUUGUAAUCCUCAUUUUAUCAAAAGGGGGACAGAGACAGAAUGCUUGUGUGUUUUGCAGUCCACAAUUGGUAAAUAGUAGACCUGGAAUUUUAAACUGUGCAAUUGAUUUUAUCUACUAGACAGAAGUUUUAAUGCCUAUCCAUCCAACGUGUUUUCAUGAUAUGUUGCUCAAGACAGAAAUCUGAAAGCCAUCUUUGGAUCAUUUCUUUCUCUCGAGCUCCACAUUUAAUCUCUUUGGAAUUCUUUGCUAUUUCAGCUUAAAAAUACAUCUUGAAUCCAAUGAUUUCUUUUCAUUUCUCCAGUCAUGACCUAGUCCAGGGUUUGUCUACGUUGGUACUUCUGACAUUGGGCCUGGAUAAUUGUUUGGGGGGCUGUCAUGUGCAUUUUUAGGAUGUUUAGCAGCAUCCUUGGCCUCUACCCACUAGAGGCCAGUAGCACACUCUGCCCUCCCCCCUGCCCAUCAUGACCAUCAAAAAUGUCUCCAAACACGACUGCCAAGUGUCCCCUAGAGGACUGAAUCGACUAACUGAGUUCAGGUCCUCACCCUUUCCUCACUGAACUAUAAUGAUCUCCUACCUGGACUUCUUACUUCAAAUUUUAUUUGUAUUAUUAUUUUGUUGUCCCCAAAACAAACAGAAAAUGGAAAUAAGAUAAUCAUUAUUCUUGUCUAAAAUUCGUAUUGCUUUCUUAUUGAAUUGGGAAAAAAAAGUUUGGAGGUUUAUAUUUACUUGUAUGCUUUCAAUCUCCCCUAUAAGACUAUAGGUCCCAUAAAGGCACAGGCCAUGUCAGUCUUGUUUACUGGGGUGUUCCUGAUGUCCAGCACAAGACCUAGACACAGCCAGUCAUUCAGAGAGGCGGAUAAAUGCACAUCACUUAGAAUGGUUGAAUACGUUCAAAGACUUCCCCCAAAACCCCUGAUGAUGGAGCACCGUACAAUCUUGGGAAUACUGAUGUGAGGGAGGGAGGGGCACUUAGCCACAACCAGGAGAUUAAUCAGAGCUGACAUGGUUUGUCUUGGAAAAAAGGAAAUCCUAGCUGGGCUACCACUGUGCAUUCUCAAGCUGUGAGCUAGUUGGUCUCAGGUCAGCCUUCUUAUUUCUGGCCCCAGUUACCCACUACUGGCCAAGUCCUUGGGUAGCAUGGUUUUCCCCCUUUCAGUUUGUGGUUAGUAACUUGGGGGAAGUACCCCAUUAUCGGUUCUGCUGGGCCCCACGGCCAGGAUGUUAGGAAACAGGAAUUAAGUACAACUCCCCUGGAGCCAUUUCAACAGCUGUGGUUUGUGCGGAAGUCCGCCUCUCUCAGAGCCCGCUUCAGGGUAGAGGAGAUGCACAGCAAGGAUGGUGUUUGGAGACUUCCUUCUUGGAGUACACUUGAGCAUGCCCUGGGACGCGUGUGCACGCACGUGUGCAUGUGUGUGCACUCAGGCGCUUGAAAGUGCACUAGCCAUAUCUAAAGCUAGGAGACUCUUUAAGCAAUAUUUAGCCCCAUCUUCUCAUUUAAUAGGAGGAAAUUUAGGCCUUGAGAAAUUUGACUUACCUAAUAUCACACAGCUAGUUAGUGAAAGCUGGAUUCAAAUUGGAGUCAGCUCUCUUUCUACCAUAUCCAACGGUCUGGAAGUUUCAUUUCAAAAUACAACAUUUGUGUGUGUGUGUGUGUGUUUUCUGAUUAAAGAGUAAUAUGUGGAUGAAGAUUCAGAACUGCCAUCCUGAAUGCUCUGGGUUUGGUUAACCCUCGGAAGAACCACUUGCAGCUUCCCCUCCAAGGGGUAGCACUUGUCAGCACCCAUUGCCAGAGGAAGCCUAUCUCUGGGUGAAGUCCCAGCCUUGUCCUCUGACCUCACCUUAACCCUUGCGUCCGUACCCUGUUGAUUUCAGCCAUGACUAAUUAACCACCAGCAGGCCUGCUGGGGUUCCUCCUGCAGCCCAUUAUCCAUGGUCCUGCUUUGGCCACCUGGUCGAUCCCUGCCAUGACUCUAGUUCCCUUCACUACCCUAGUUCUUGUUUGUUCUGAACACAUACGAGCAGGCUCCAUACCUGUGGACCCAACCAACCCCUCAGCCCUUUUUAUGAAACCUUGCUUAUCAGCCCAGAGCGCCCCCCACUUGACCCGUCAAGAGAAUGCAAGAGUCCAGACUGACCCCAUCUUCCUUGGAAAUACUGAGUGGUGUCCCCCUUCCCUGGAAAUACUGAGAGGAGUGGCCACCACACAGGGUCCCAGCUGGUUUGUUUUUAUUUUUCAUUGACCUGUUUGACAACAUAUUAAAUUUUGUGAGCCACAUCAAAUUUUUGUUGGAAGUGUCCAAGGGAAUAUUAGAUAUGAGCACAAUGUAUUUACUGUGCCAGAAUUUGGCAGAAGAGACCAAAUAAUGUGAGAUAUGAACUACACUCUAUAGCUCAAAGUGGGUCCUUUGAGAUAAGGGUAUUUCUUUCCUUUUUUUUUUAAUUUAAAUGCAAUUAACCAACAUUUUGUACAUCUCCAGUUUUUGAUGCAAUGUUCAAUGAUUCAUCAGCUGCGUACAACACCCAGUGCCCAUCACAUCAUGUGCCCUCCUUCAUGCCCAUCACCCGGUUACCCCAUCCCCCACCCACCUUCUUUUCUGCAGCCCUCAGUUUGUUUCCCAGAGUCAAGAGUCUCCCAUGGUUUGUCUUCCUCUCUUAUUUCUUCGAGAUAAGGGUUUUUUCUUAUAUGUAAAUCAGACCCUUAAAAGAUCUGAUUGGAGAGAGAGCUAUACAAGAAGUGACUAUAGAUUUGUGUUUUUUUGGAGGAGAUUGAAAUAUAUGGUGGAUGCUCACUAUUUUCUUUCUUCCUUCCUUUUUUUUUUUUUUUUUUUUGGCUCUCCAUCUUCCUACUCCCCUUUUGGGGGGAUUUCCCCACCCCGAUGUGUUUUGUGUUGGUAGAAUCCAGUGCCCUACCUCCUCCCGUAGAAGCUGCAAGAGGGAAUUUCUGAGUUCUGGCAGCGUGAGCUCGUAACCUCCCCUUACCCAAUCAGAUGCUCCUCUGCGGGACAUGGAGUCUCUUGAUCAUGGCGUAGGCUGCAGGGACUCACAGAAAUAUGUUUAUCGGCAGAAAUGACAGCGACAGCAGAAGGAGGCGAUACCUACACCACUGAUAGCAUCCACAGCAUGUCUUGAACAAGUUCUUCCUAAGACCUGAUCUUGAUGGUGCUUAGUAUUCCCUGUAUCCCCAGAUCUGCUCUAGUUUCUGCAUUUCCCCGAGCCUCACUCUCUUGCCUCCCUGGUUUUUCUGUGAACGUCCCCAAACCCUUCCAACAAAUGUCUUUUCUGCUUCAGUUUAUCCAGAGUUGAUUUCUGUGGCUUAUGCUCAAGAAUUCUGGAUCAUACAAUAUAGGGGAGGUGAAUUAACCCUCAAUUCUCAAUGGCACAGUUAAGUCACUGGCUUUAGAAAAAAAAGAAAUAGAAACAAGCAAAAAGCCAGAGAAGUGCCUGUAAAAUCUCUGCUUUCCAAGGGGAUGGGAGGAGUUGUGGGCACCGGUGGCUGUUUUCCUCAGAUCUGCAUGACCACAAAGAUAAAAUAAAUUGAAUGAAUGAAGGCAUGAAUGAGUGAAAUCAUUCUUUAGAACAGUUUAACUCAUCUUUGAGUUUCCUGCCCAGGUGGAGAAGUGGAGUUGGAAAUGACUGUACCUACUACUAUGAAUUUUAUGAUACCAUUUACCUAGGGGUCUUCCUUGGCAGCACGAAUACUCUAUCUGAUCACUGUCUUGAGAUGCAGAACCGGAUUCUAGAAGUCCUGAUUUCCUUCAGCUCUGCUUCCUUCACAUGUUCCGGAAGAAUGGCAUCAGAAAAGGGAUCUGAGGCAGCAACAGACCCUGUUUGGGAGGCAGAUGAAGGCAGAAGAGAGAUCGAUUUGCCUCUGGUUACUUGAAUCACUAUGACUGCCUAGCACUGGGCUUAUGUCAUGUUCACAGAUCAACCCUGAAACAGGCUUCCAUACUGCUGGGAAGCUCCUGAGUUUGAUGCUAAUUCCCAAAUAUGGCUGAACAUGUUGCAGAAGGAACAUUAGAUCAUCUGCAGCACACCAUCUGGAGGCCCUGUGGAAAGCAAAUUCUUCUUUGAGACCUGGUGACCAGAUCACACUUUCUCUAAAAUCUCAGCCAAGAUAAGCAGGACUUCCAGAGGACAAGAAGGCAUUUCCUCUUCUGGAAAAUGAAGGUGUGGUGGACUAAGGAAUUUCUCCAUAAAUUCCUCCAGGAAGGCCGGAGCAGAGCUGUUCAUCAGCUUUGAGGAGUUUUAAAGGCACAGGUUGCUUGCUCCACAUGCUGCCCCCUGCUUCCCAAAUAAAAAGCUAUGCACACCUUGGUACAGGGGAAACCUGAGGGCAUGUGGGAUCAGUGUUGGAAAUCAGUAGGGAACAGGCUUGAUCUUGACAGUAAGGGUGUGGGGGAGUAUCCUUAACUAAUUCUGAGUCACCAGGAGACCGAUUUUCCAGCAGGAGGAGGAUCGAAAGAGGUCGGAACACCCAGUUCAAGCUGCUUCAACUUGGAAAUAUUUAAGAGGGCAAUCUGAUAGAUUUUGCUGCAUAGCAUCUUUCUCUUUGUGAACAUGCACCCCACAGAUCAGUGUCUUCAAGGAGCUGCCUUGCAUGGAUCUGAUCAAGGGAUAAAUAUUCUGGUAUUUAACAUAAAAAUCUGAGAACUUUCAUCUUCAGCUACUCACAUUUAAAUCUCUUGCUAUUUCUCACUGGGGCUGGGAGAACAAGAGUCAAAUUCACAUAGUUACCCACUUCAGACAAAAUCAUGGCUCAUUUUUAGGUUAUACAGUUCCUGCCCAGGUGGUGACACUAAGAUGGAACUUACUGGGGGUACCAUCUUGUCUUCAUGGUGCCAUCUUCUCGGAGGAUCUCCGAGUCUUAUUUUAACAGCAGAAGUGUUUUCCUCUGUGGACCAAAAGUCUGAGAGGCAGAGAAAGAUGGAUCCUGAAGGGUCCUAGUUCUUUAAGCUCUGCUUUCUUCAGACUUUUGAGAGGGUAGUCAUCAGAGGAGGGAUGGGGAGUGAGAGGGUAUUGGGAAGAUGAGCAGGGAAUCCCCCAUUAGGAGACUGUUUACGUACGUGGUGGCCCAGACUCACAGAGAUCUGGGUAGAGACAAGGGUGAAAUAAAACUGUGUUUUGGAAACUGUGGUAAGCAGGAGGCAAUGAGUCAGUGCUUACCAUCCCCAGAAAGUGAUAUUGCUCACUGGGGAGGCUUCGGGGCAAAGCCUGUACAUGCAUCUGGAGGCGGAGCUGGAAAAGCAGAUUGGCACCCGGGAAUUUGGAGGGAAAGGUGUGGGGAGGAGAGACUGUAAGUGAACACAGCGGGGGUGGGGGGGAACCACACUGGGGAAAUAGUACUGAAAAUGGGUUCCCGAGGUGGAAAUAGCUGUCAAAACAGAAGCAGAACUGCUGCGUUGUAUUGUUAGUGAAGGGAGAUUUGUAGGUUGUGUGGGAAACCCUCAGGCAUUUAUUUCAUUUUCUUUAUGCUUCUAAUUUUAAUUUCUUUUCAACCCAAAGUGUGUGGAAUAAUUGUGGUUUAGAGCAAUGUAGUCUUGGGAACCUUAGGGCUAUACUUAAUGUCCAAGUUUAGGGCUUAGCCAAACAUAGCAUACCUGGAAACAGUCCUUUAUUUAUCAGUAGUUGAAAUAGAAGCUGAGUCACAGAAGUGACGGAAACACAUCCGGGGCCUGUCUCCUGCCUCCUCAGUCCCCGGGGUGUUGAUGAGCCUGGCCUUUGCCUGCUCAGGCCUUGCAGUCUCUUCUCCAUUGACAUCCAACCCCCUUGGCCAGAGUCAAUACCCUUCACACCUGUCCUUCUCUAGUUGUUGUCCCAGCUAUGGGUGACUGCAUGUCCACGAUUGACUUUCAGAGUCGAGCUACAGGGCUUUCCAGCAACUAAUAUGUCAGCAGCUCCCCUCACUGUUCUAAACAUGGGUGAUUGACUAGAGCUCAGUUUUGAAAUAGCCACUUUGCUUAAAUUGGAUUUCAUCUGUGCUCAAAGGGAAGAAAGGGGAAGAAUCCAUCUGGUUUGGAAAGACAUGUUCCUCUUCCCCACCUUGUAGUCAUCAACUACAGUCACUAUGUACUUUUUCUACCCCCAGGCCCUAGUCCUGGAGCGGAGGAAGGAAUAGGCUAGGAUGGAGGGUACCACUCACUAUCUCAGUGGCUCAGAGGCCAUUAAAAAUAGUGGGGUGGAUUUACAUCUGUAAGCAGUGGUGGGUCAUCCCCUCAUUUCCCACACAUUCUUGCUAUCAUAGACAAGACUGGGGGAGAAUGCUCCAGUGUAAGGUGUGCCUGCAUCAGGGGAAAUCAAGGAUGAUCCCUGGGGGGCAAGAAGGAAAAUAUUAGAGCCUCUAUUAUAUUUAUUUUAAAUUUUCUACUUGUGUGUGUCUGGUACAAAGUGCAUUAUAUAUUAGUAUAUUGGUAAAUUUAUUCUAUCUAUCUAUCUAUCUAUCUAUCUAUCUACCUAUCUAUCAUCUAUCUAUGUCAUCUGUCAUCCAGCUAUCCAUCCUAUCAGGAGGUAUCUUGAGCAGCAUUUUGGAAGUACACAUUCCUGGGAGGUUCUAUUUCAGUAGGUUUCAGGGGAGGCCGAGGAAACUGUAGUUAUCUGACUCAUUUAUUUUCAUUAAGGAACCCUUCCUUAAAUGUCACCCUACACGAGAUCCUAAUAGGUACAACAGAUAAAGAUGGGACCCCUCUUCUGAAGGAGGCUGGAGGCAACGACAGGGGAUGGCCCAACCUUCCUUUUAUUCUAUCUGCCCUCUGCUCUCCUUGGUCGGCAUAAACUCUCACUUGGAAAGCACCAUGAUAGCUUCUGAAAGAUGAAUCUUUGGAGGUCAAGUGUUCCAUGUUUGAAACUGGACUAACAGAACAUGGCCCCCCAUUCUCAGGUUUGAUGUGGUAGCUGGGUCCCUCUCAGUCUUUUUUUCAUGCCAUGUGCUAAACACCCCCUCCGAGCCCAGGCUAAGUGAAGGGACGGACACUUAGAAUAGACUCCUCCCUGAGGUGCCUUCCCCAGGCUGCUUUCCACUAUCCCAUGACUGCUUUGUCUUUCUUAGCACAGGGACUUGCCCUGAGUAAGCAGUCCGUACUCACGGACACACGAGUGUUCACGUUCACUGCAGAGGAUGACCAGCUUGCUGUAGCAAGCAUUUCUCUGAUCUUUCAGAUUUGCAGUGCGCUCCCUCUGCAGAAGGAGCUUCUGCUUAAACAAAACACAGUCCCAUAUCCUAGGGGCACCUCACCUUUUAGCUGAUUCAGUUAUGCUUACAUCUGGUUAUAAUUUCCUUUCUAAUUUUGCUGGCGUAAAGAUGACCUAUUUCCCAAGGGCAAUUCACACUGUCACUUAUAGAGUUAUGUUGUCUUCAUGAAUAACCGUGAGAGGCAAAAUUGCCUCACAGAAUUAGGGGGAAAGGUGGGGUGUGGCAGACACAGAUACACUACUCAGAUCCCCCUUCAAGAAAGGGCUCACCGCCCAGCUGCUGGGACAGUAGCUCGCUCACAGUCUCCUCUGUGAGCAACCUUUGAGCCAAAGCCACACUCUGUCCUGAGUGGCCCCAGUCAAUAAAUGAAUGGGGCCAUAGAACAGAGACUUGGCCAUUUCUGCCCAAUGACAACUUGGAUCCAACAGUUGAUCUUGCUCUGGAGCAACCUUUUGGGCCAACAGAGACAGUAUCCCAAUCAGGUGGCUUCCUCCAUGGCCAUUCUUGUUUCCCACAUUUUCUCACGGGUGCUACUCCUCGCCAAACCUUAUGCACUCCUAAUUCUGUCUUAGCAUCUUCUUCCCAGAGAACUGUUACCAGCUGUAACAGUCAGGAUAUGCUGGAUUAUGUUGCUAUAACAAAUAUCACAAAGAUAUUAGUAGAUUAAUAUGAAGGAAGUUUAUUACUUUCACCCAAAAUCCAUUGUAGGUCUGGAUGGUUCUCUGGGACAUCACAUGGUGCCUCAGGUAUCCAGUCUGCUGGGGGGUCGGGGAAGGAGGAGGCAAUGAGAAGCAAAUACAGAUUGCAACAUUCUCUUAGAUUCCUUAAGUCUACAGCUCCCAGCCCCUGGGUGCGAAUAGCCCCUGGGGAGGUUCAGAGUUAUUGCCAGGGGUGGGCAAAUAUACACACAUGCUUGUGGCAUGAAUACAUCAUAUGUUUAAAUAUUUUGAAUAAUAUAUGUGUUAUUUUUCAAAUAUAUGAAUAACAAUUCACCAAAACUUACUUUUUUAAAUAGUGCAUUUUUAGAUCACCAGACACCAAAAGUUAAACACACACACACACACACACACACACACAUCGAGGGAAAGUUUUUGCACUGCAGAGGAGUCCUCAUGCAAAGGGCUGAGAAAUACUGUUUUAGAUGAUGUGGCCCAUCUUAACUGGGAAUUUCUCAUAUAACUUCUAAGUCAACUUUGAGAAAAUCUGCCUGAUGCUCCAGUCGAGCAGCUCUAGUUUGACAAAUAUUGAUAGCUGAGGGGUGCGAGAAUGGCCGAUUUUAAAAGGGAAUGGGAUAUCAUGUGGCCUUUUGUACAAUCUCAAGCCUCCUAAAAAAUGUGCUUAUGUAUUGUCAACCUGGGAUCUUGAUCCUCCUGUUUAUAGAGACAACCAGGCAGAACGUAUCUGGCUUGGGUUAACCAUUUCUGUUUGUUUUGGGACAAGUCACCAUGCCUUAACAUACAGUAGUUAUCUUUGGAGAACAGAUAUCAUGCAACUAUGGAUUGCCAUUUGGGUGAAAUCUUACAUCUGCAAAAGACCAGCCAUCCUGUCCUACACAGAAUACAGAGACUCAAUCUGUGAAAGGAGAAUAGCUUGUCCAAGGUCACACAGCCCAGGGGCUGGCCAGGCAGGACAGAAUUGUGUGGAAGACACUGGAGAGGCCCUGGUUCUGGGGAGCAAUGGUAGCUGAGAGAAGUGAGUGUCUGAAGAAGACUUUCCAAGAGAAGAAGGGGCACUGAGAGACGGUAGAGCUGCUGAUGACCAGCUUCCUUGCACUCACCAGUUUGCCCCGGGUUGCCUAGGUGAGCAAAACACCUUUCCAAUGUCUGUGGGUGUCAUCUGAAUGAUACCAAGUCUUCUCAAAUCUUUGAUCUUAUUUCACUCAUAAGAUCUUGCCCGACCUGCCCUCCCUCCCUAUCCUCUGAACACCACUUUGAAAAGAACAUGUUGCUAGCCUAGGCUAUUGGGUUUCCUGUCACAUUUGGGUGUCUGCCGGACCGUGCAGAUCGACAUGGCAGAGAUACACACUGCAGAGGGAAGUCAAGUUUGGUUUCAGCAUGAACUGAUUAGAUCCUUGACAUUUUCCAGGCUACUACUUCUGUUGAGGUAAACAGCCAAGACUGGGAACUUUGUUAGCAUUUUUGAGCUGAGUGUUUACCCAAGUCCUAUAAGCCAUCUGGGUCUAGGGGAUGGACUUGGACAUCUUCUCCUUUGAGUUCUUGCACCUUUUCACUCUGAGCUGAAAAUAUUUAUGAAGAGCCACUUCUGCCCGUAGUGGGUAUGGGAUGUUUACUCUCAGACUAACAAGUGUUACAAAUGGGGGUCAGAUUAGAACAGAACAAAGCCUAAGGGUCUGGCCAAUUGACUCUAAUGGAUUUUUUUUUUUCUUUAAAAAUGGACUAACAGGCAUGUGACUUUCUAGUCUGGGACGUGACUUUAGAGUCAGACUGCUUGAGUCCCUAGGCUGACUCAACCACUUACUGAUUAUGUGGUUGUAGGCAGAUUAUUUAAUCUUCCUGAGCCCCAGUUCCUUUAUCUUAAAAAUAAGGACAAUUGCAAAUUGCACCUACUUCAAUAAAUUUGAAGCCCAUAGGGAGCACUUGGUAAAUACGAACUGCUCUUGUUUCUGUUGUGCUGGAAAGAGGUCUGGUAACUCGACAACUAUGCCCACCGUUGUUACUGUCAGUAAUAAUCUUACAAGAUUGAAUGUGACGUACUAGCACGUACUUCAGUUUCUGCAUCCAUAAAAUGGGACCAAGGUUGCUGGCUUUUUCUACCUUAGGGAACUUUGAGAUGCAUCCAAUGAAGUAAGAGAUGCCUUGAAACGUGAAUAUAUCCUAUGGGGAUGGGAGAUCUUGUCCAGGCUGUGCAAAGAAUAGCAGCAGUGGCCAUGGCGGUGGGAGGGGGUCAUUGCCCAUCCCACGCCACUUACGUUGAUGUUGCCUCUGCAUGUACUGUGAUGGAGGAGCCAGAUUCUGUUGGGAUGGGUGCGGCUAGUUCUUUCCACGCUGCCUGUGACAGAACCCCAUGUUGUUGAGAGCACUACUUUUUGAUGUCCCACACCUCUCUCAUGGAGUCCGAGGUGCUUCUGCUAGAGGUGGUCAAUCUCCGAGGUCAAUACCAGCACCUGCUUUCCAGCUCAAGGACCACAGGAUGAGCAAAGCCAGGUCCUACAGCAGCAAUCCAAGAGACCCUCCCACCCUCUCCUAUCUGAAGGGUCCUUUUGAGAUGAGUUGCUGGGCUGCCCCUGGUUAGGAAAUAGUAAGAAGCUUGCAUUCAUAGAAGAAGGAAGUGGCGGGGGGAGUCACCGAUCCUUUCAUAAAACCCAGCAUGUCACAGCUCCUGUUUAAGGGGGAAGACUCAUUUUUCCCUAAGUUGAGAGUAUUUGGGCUGGGAUAUUGGGGUGGAAGAAGUGGAGGGAGAAAUUGACCUUCUGUCCAGAGCCAGACAGAGGUUUACAUAUACAGUAAAAUAUUUGAGGUUCUCAGUUGAGGGAGAGUUCUUUUGUUCCAAGCAUAGAAAAACCGACUUUGGCUAAUUUAAUCAAAAAAUAAAUUAAAAAAUACACACACACAUAUACAUAUCAUACCACAGACACAUACAUAUUAGAAGGCCACAGAGUAGCUCAUAGAGUCAAAUAAAAAGCUAAGGACUCUGGCUUCGUACAGGACAGGAAGCUGGGAAAAUUAGGUUGGAGAAAUGAAUGGACUCCCCAUUAGCCAGAGGUCCCUUAUGUCACUUUACUCAGGAUUCGUCUUCCCCGGGGAGAGUUAAUUGACCUUGCUUGGUGCCAUGCCAACUACUUGACCCGCAGGAGGUGAGACACCUUGCUUCGGGCUUUGUUAGGAGGGUGAACAGAAUGCUGAACAGGCCACAGAACAGAUGUCUACUACAGUCUCUGCUUUUCGUCAUUAGCCUCGUCACUAUAAUUAGUUCCCCGAGGCUGCCUGGAUUUGCAUUCGUCCCAGUGGAGUCAAAUGUUUCUGUUUCUUGCAUCCUUGAUAAAAUUCGCCCAUGCAAAAAGUGGAUGACAAUCUUCUCACCCAAGACAAGAUCUCUGCCUGGUCCCCCUGGCCCACCUAGAGAGCCGGUGCUCGGGCCUUCCUGAAGAGUGCUACCCGCCUCGCCUUGCUUUCUCUUUAAUAGCUCCAUGCUCUGGAUCGUAGAAGUUUGGGCCUUGCAGCCCCCGAUUACCCAGCCUAACCGUUGUUUAAAACAGCAAACUAAAAAUAAGUGUCCCCAGGACCGUUCAUGUUGGCAAUGACGGUUGGCCUGCCACCUCACCACAGAGACACUUGUUAUUUGGGGGUUUGGAAAAGGGAAACACUUAAGUGCUGGUUUAUCAGCCAAAAGAAGCUACAGCCAAAAAAACACAACACCCGUCCCACCCACAGACUUCUGGUCAGCGUAUCAGCUUACGGGGGAAAGUUUAGCUGUUAUAAGUUAAAGACGUAGAGAUGUUGCUUUAUUUACACAUUGGCGGGGGGUGGGGGUGGGAAGGGGAUGAUGUGAGACAGCAGCUGCCUUUUGGAAGUUUCCAGGGUAACUUUAAAAGAGAACAAAAAUGUUUUUGUUUUUUUUUAAGUGUUAGAACAUUUGCAAAAUACAGAGGAACAAAAAAGAAAAAGUCUGCAAUGAUGUGCCAUAUUAAUAUUUCAGUGCGUCUCCAAUCCUGGCUUUUAGAUCAGGAGGAAGAGCUUAGGGGUCGAUGGCAUGGUGCUGACCCUAACUCCUUUCCUGUCCUAUCUGCUUGCAUGUGGGGACGAUGCCCCAAAUGAAGUGAAAGUGUCACAGGGACAGUUACCACAAUGACAGGUCUUCACGCACACCAUUCACAGGCCUCCUUUAUGCACUUAAUUGUAAUGUGAGGCAUUCCCCGUGUUUUGGAAUUUCUUUGCCAGGGUCACUGUAAUGGCUUUAUAACAUUUCACCAAAUGGCUGUUCCCUAGCCUGUGGAAGCAGGCCCCGACAUUGGACAUGAAGUAUGACAGGGAAUGCUGUGACGGACAUCUUUGUGCAUAAACCAGAGCACCGUCUGUCGAAGAAGAGUCCAGCCUCGCCACCCGUCGGGCGUGAGGUCUCUGCACUGUCCCCAGCUCUCUCUGGUCUUGAUGGAAAUCUGGCCCCAAGACUAUUCCUCCAAAGCCUCAAGCAGUGGUCAUCAUUUCUGAUGUUAUUUAAGAUGGAUUGGAGAGGCCAGGAAAUGUGUAAGUUUCCUUUCUUGUCAUCCUCUCUUAAAAGAAAAUGUUUGGUGGGCUGUUCUAUCUAGAUGACAGCUGGCUUUUAUCAUUAAUCUCCAACUGAUCAAAACUAGGGACAGAACCUCUUUAGAAAAAUAGGGCAGGAAAAAGGUUGGUUAGUGAAUCAAACUCUAGCAGAAUCUAAGGAAUACCCCCUCGAUUUUCCCAAGUGCAGUGAGAAUGUGGAGAAACUAGAUCACUCAUACACUGCUGGUGGAGUGUAAAAUGGUUCGGCCACUCUGGAAAGCAGUUUGGCAAGUUCUUAAGAAAUAAAUAUGCAACUGCCGUACCACCCAGCAAUUGCACUCUUGCCCUUUAUCCCCAUGAAAUGACAAAUUAACUUUCACACAAAAACCUGUACUCCAACGUUUAUGGCAGUUGUAUUUGGUAAUAUCCCCCAGUUGGAAACAACCCAGAUGUACUUCAAUGGGUGAAUAGUUAAACUGUGGCAUAACCACAUAAUGGAAUACUACUUAGCACUAAAAAAGGAAUGAACUGCAGGCAUGCCUCAAAGUGAGUCAAAUGAAUAUUUUGGCUUCCUAGUGCAUAUAAAAGUUAUGUUUAUAGUACACUAUAGUCUAUUAAAAGUGCAGUAGCAUUAUGUCUGAAAAAACAAUCUAUAUACCUUAAUUACAAGAUAAUGUAUUGCUAAAAAAGUGCUAAUUAUCAUCUGAGCUUUCAGCAAGUCAUAAUCUUUUUGCUGGUGGAAGAUGCCUUGCUGGUGACUGAUCAAGAUGGUGGGUGCUAAAGGUUGGGGGGGCUGUGGCAAUUUCUUUAAGAAAAUAACAAAGAAUUUUACUGCAUCCAUUGACUCUUCCUUUCACAAACGAUUUCUCUAUAGCAUGUGAUGCUGUCUGAUAACAUAUUUUACCCACGGCUGAACUUCUUUCAAACUCUGCCAUUGCCUUAUCAACUGAGUUUAUGUAACAUUCUACAUUCUGUGUUGUCAUUUCAACUAUCUCCACAGCAUCUUCCCUGGGAGUAGGUUCCAUCUUGAGACCACUUUCUUGUUCAUCCAUAAGCAGUAACUGCUCAUCCAUUCAAGUUUUAUCUUGAGAUUGCAGCAAUUCAAUAUAACAAUAAUCAAAAAGAUUGAAAUAUUGUGAGGAUUACCACAAUGUGACACAGAGACAUGAGGUGAGGAAAUGCUGUUGGAACAAUGGCGCCGAUAGACUUGCUCAAGGCAGGGUUGUCACAAGCCUUCAAUCUGUAAUAAUAAUAACAACAACAACAACAACAACAAUAAUAAUAAAUGAGAUAUGCCUAUAUUGACAUAGCAACAACCUAGAUGAAUCUCUAAAGAAGCAUGUUGAGUGAAAAAAUCCAAUCCCAGAAGGUUAUAUACUGUGUGAUUCUAUUUAUGUAAUAUUCUUGAAAUAACAAAAUAGUGGAAAUGGGGAAUAGGUUAGGAGCUGCCAGGGGUUAAAGAAGUGGUUAGGGCAGGAGAAAAGUAGCUGUGGCUAUAAAAAUAUAAUACAAAGAACCCUUACGGUGAUGGAAAUUUUCUGUAUCUUGACUGUAUCAGUGUCACUGUCCUGGUUGUGAUACUCUGCCAUAGUUCUUGCGAGGUGUACCACUGGAAGAAACCAAGUGUGAGUGUAAGGGAACACUCUGAAUCCUUUCUUAAAACUGGAUGUGAAUCUACGACUAUCUCCAGAUAAAAGUUUAAUUUAAAACAAAAGGAGACAGGAGAAAGACUGUUAACUAUCCCCGGACUCACCUUGAACUCUAGCAAGACCUGAAUAAUGCUCUUCAAUUUUCCUAUAUUCCCUGCUCAAAGGAAUUUCUAGUCGUAGAAAGACCUGACCAGAUGAGAAGUCAGGCAAACGGAUGUGUUCCUUGUCACACAGUGAGGUCUUCGGUUCACCUACUGUUUAUUAGGUCACUCAUUCAUUCAGUGAACAUUUAUGGUGCCCCUCCUAUGUACCCAGGACUGUAGUAGGUGCUGUGGAUAUAAGAAGACAGAUAAUAGACUCUGUCUGACCUGAAUGGAGCUAUGUUAUAACGACAUCAUUUCAUGGAGUGGUAAGUGCUAAGGAUACUGUAGAACAGAGUAAUGCAGACAGUGUUAGGGGAGGGAGACUCUUUUGAUAGGGAAGUCAGGAAAAGCCUUUCCUAGUAAGUGUUUUGAUCUGCGAGCUAGAUGAUGGAACAGAGCCCUAGAGCUGGGGAGAAGAGCAUUGCUGUAUUACCUCUAGAAAGGUCACUCUUGCAGUGUAAAGAAUACAUUGAAAGGAAGCAAGAAUAGAAGUGAGGCAACCACUUCACAGGCCAUUUUGGUGAUGGUUUCCUCAACUAAGGUUUAGCAGUGGAGACGAUGGCGCCACUUUCUGAGAUGAGAAAGCCUGUGAGGAAGAAGGGAAUAGGUUUAGUUGGAAGAAAGAAAUCAAGAGUUCGAUUUGGUUAUGCUCAUUUUGAUAUGUCUUAUGUGGUACAUUGGGCCACAAACAUUGUGCAGCCUCCUUCUUUUCUUCAAUCCCAGCCGGUGCUCCAUCAGCUCUGUGUCACUCCCCUACAUCCAGACUUGAAUGGCAGAUCAUCCUGCAAGGUCUCUUCCUGCAUGCCAGCAAGGGUUUAAUUUAUGCCUACAGGAAGUACGGAGUUAGCAACCUGAAGGUGAACCAUGAACAAGGGGAAAUGGGAACUAAAAAGGAACCAGUCAAAGUCUUCAUUUUUCCCUCUCCUAUAGACUACUCAAGGAUACAAUAUCUUCAGACACCUCUUCCAGAGAAGUCCCAUAUGCUGAGUGAACACAAAUUCUGAGUGACCUUCUGGGUCCCUUGGCAGCGUUCUGAGGUGGAAGCCAGGAUGGUAAUGCAGCUCAUCACAUCAUAUCACACCUUCGCCUCUUUUCCUUUUUUCUUCUACACCCAAUACCUAAGGACUUGCACCUCUCAAUUAAACUGUCAGAAUCUUAAUCCUUCCCUUGGGCUCUGUUUUAUGAAGGACUCAAUUAAGACAACAUCCAAGUGAAGAUGUCAAUUAAGAAGUUAAAAGUCUAGAACUCAGGAAGGAAGUUAGGAUUAGAACUACUAAUUUGAGAAACAUCAGAAGGUGCACAGCAUUUGGGACCAUAGGAUCAUGCAGUCACAUUGAGAGAGUGUGUGGAUAGAAAUAUGGGUCAAAGAGCAAACCUGAGGCACUCUGAAGCCUAAUGUUCAGAGGAAGGGGUGGGUCCAGCUGAGGAGAAUUGAGAAAGAAUAGUCAGUGAGGUAGAAGAAAAUCUGAAGAGGUGUAGCGAAUCAAGGCAAAAUAAGGGGAGACCGUUGCAAGAAAAACGGAAACAAUCGGGUGGGUCAAAACUAGCUUAGAGGUCUAGUAAUGUGUGUGAGAGAGGAGACCAUUGGGUUAGGUGCCAUAGAAGUGGCAGAUGGCUUGAUGAGAGCAGUUUCCGUGAGGAAGUAGGAGUGGAGUGGGUCGAGGAGACAGAGGGAGAUGAGGAAGUGGAAAUAGCUAAUAUCAUAGACAAGUCUUUGAAGAAAUUUAAAUGAAAAUGGGGAAGAAGUAAAGUGGGGAACAGCCCGGCAGUCUGCUUGCUGGGCACUAGAGCUGGCAUACGUGUGUGUGGGAGAAGCAUCGUGACUGGGAUGCCAGAGACCUAAGUUCUAGUCCUUUUACCGCCAUUAACCAGCUAAGGAGGCCCUAGGUAAAUCAGUUCCCUGCCUGGGCAUUAAUUUCCUCGUUCGUCAAAGUCAAAUAUCUCUUGGAUUCCUUCUAGCUCAGGAAAACUAUGUCCUGUGGAGAUGUUGAAGCAGACAGAGAAGGAACAGUGAGUGGGGGAAGUAGGAUCCUUGAGAUGAUGAUGAGAGGAAGGAUUAACUAAGAUGAUGCAUGCAAAGCACUUAGCACAGUGCCUGACAUAAUAGGAAGAACAUUUAUUAUUAGAAGUAAUAGAGUAGUAUUAAUAGCAGAAACUCGUAGAACAUUGUGGUGCACUGCUCUACUACACAAGAAAGUGCCAUUUGGAUAAAAAAGAAAGGAGGAGACAUAAGGAUGGACCAGGCCACGCCUGGCAUGGCAGUGAAGAUCACACUAGAAGCAACUUGUGGAAUGAAGUGAGUGACAGAUUUUAGGAUGGCAGCUCAAAGCUGGUAACUUGGGCGAUGGGGGGCUCCACCAAAAUGGAAAGACAUUUUACUUCAAAAAAUGCUUUCUAUCCCAUGUAAAAGUAAGGUAGGGAUACAAAGAGCCAUGAAUGGGCAAGACCACCUCAAAGAACAAAGUUGGAGGACUUAGCUAGAUAACAAGAUUUUUUAUAAAGUGAUGGCGCUGAAGACAAUAUGGCAUUGGCACAACAAUAGACAAGUGGGCAGAACAGAGUCUAAAAACAUAGCCAUGUAUGUGCAGGCACUUGAUUUAUGAAAAAGGUAGGACCUCAGAACAGUGGAGAGAGGACAGUCUUUUUUUUUUUUUUUUAAAGAUUUUAUUUAUUCUUUUGAGAUACAGAGAGAGAGAGAGAGAGAGAGCAAGCAUGAGCUGGGGGAGAGGUAGAGGGAGAGGGAGAAGCAGGCUCCCUGCUGAGUCAGGAGCCCGAUGUGGGGCUCGAUCCCAGGACCCUGGGAUCAUGACCUGAGCCGAAGGCAGACGUUUAACCCUCUGAGCCACCCAGGUGCCCCUGGAGAGAGGACAGUCUUAUCAAUAAAUGGUCCUGCAUCAAAUGGAUAUCCAAAUGGAGAAAUAAGAAUAAAACUCAACUCCUGCCUCAUGCUAGGGAAAAAUCAAUCCUCUGUGGUCUGUAGACUGUAGAUGAAAUUUUCUAGUGGAUAACAUAGGAGAAUAGCUCUUAAAUACCCAUAAAUAGGACACAAAAAGUACUAAUCAUAAAGAAGAAUAUUUAUGUAUUGAAUUUUAUUAAAGUUAAAAAUCUUAGUUCAUCCAAAGAUGCUAUUAAGAAGGUAAGAAAAAUUAAAAAGUCAAGUUACAGAGUGAGAAAGAUAUUCUGAUAACUGAUAAAAGGCUCAAAUUUAGAGUAUAUAAAGAACUCUUACAGAAGAAAAGAAAGAUACCUCAUUUGAAAAUAAACAAACAAAAGACCUGAGUAGGUUCCUCACAAAAAUAGAAUAGCCAACGAACAUGUGAAAUGGUGCUCAACUAGUCAUCAGGGAAAUACAAAUGAAAAUUAUAUUGAGUUAUCAUUAAACACCCACAAGAGUGAAAAUAAUUAAAAUGAUGAACAAUGCCAAGUGUUGGUGAGGAUGUGGGGCAACUAGAAAACAAACUUUGCCAGUGGGAAUUUAAAAUGAUAUAGCCGUUUAAGGAAAAGUUUGACAUAUCUGCUACAUGUAAACAUGACAUGUCCAAAACCUGUCAAAUCUAUUCCCAGAUAUUUAUCUGGCAGCAAUGAGAGUUUAUCGAAGACCUGCAUGAAAACGUUCUUUGUAACAUUAUUCAUAAUACCCUCAAGAUAGAAACAACCCAGAUAUCCAUCAAGAGUGCAACAAAUAAGGACACUGUAGUGUAUUCAUAGAAUGGAAUACAUACACAAUGAAAAUCAGUUAACCACUGCUACACUCGACAUUGACGAAUCUCACACAUAUAGUGUGGAAUGAAAGAAGCUAUUUACAGAAGACUACAUGCUGUCCAAUUCCAUUUAUAUAAACUUCAAAACCUAGCAGAAUUCAUCUAUGGUGUUACCAGUUAGAAUAGUGAUCCUUUUAAAGAAGGCAGUAGUGGGAAGGGAUGUGAGGUGAACUCUGGGUGCUGGUAAUGUUUUAUUUCUUGACCUGGAAGGUGGGUACAUGGGUGUGUUCUCUUUGCAAUAACUCAAUAACUCACUUAAAGAUUGUGUACCUUUCUGUAUGGAUGCUCUACUUAAGACAGAUGGUUUAUUUAAAGAAAUGAAAUUCGGGCGCCUGGGUGGCUCAGUUGGUUGAGCGACUGCCUUCGGCUCAGGUCGUGAUCCUGGAGUCCCGGGAUCGAGUCCUGCAUCGGGCUCCCUGCUCGGCAGGGAGUCUGCUUCUCCCUCUGACCCUCCCCCCUCUCAUGCUCUAUCUCAUUCUCUCUCUCAAAUAAAUAAAUAAAAUCUUCAAAAAAAAAAAAAAGAAACAUUUAAAGAAAUGAAAUUUGAGGGGGAAUACUCAUUUUAAUAAAUGACAAAAUGUUCCUCCCCUCCUUGUUUCCGACAUCACUCCCCCAUUCCCCACUGCGUGGACUUCUUGUUCUCAUCAAAUGAGUCAGUCACAAUGGAAAAAAUUGAAUGGAUUUUCACAGAUUCUUUUUUAAGUGUAAUGUCUUUGUGAGGUCAUUAAAAAACACUACCUUCAAAUAAAAUCACCAAACCUUGCCCUCCCUCACUUUGUGGGUAAGAAUGCUAAAAUGCUGGGUCUAGGAACAAUACUCAUCCUGUGAUCAGAGGGUGGAUGUGGAUCAGAAAUUCAUGCAUUCAUUCACUUGACAAUAUUUAUGAAGCAACUACCGCAACUCAGAUAUUAUUCUAGGCACUGCAGAUACAGCAGUGAACAAAAGAGAAAAGGUCCUGUCCUGGUAGCGAUAGAAAAUACACACAAAAACGAGCAAAUGCCAUGCAGAAACAUAAGGCAGGGGGGUGUGGGAUAGUGGGUGCCAGGGGUAAGGUUUUGCUGUGUGUGGAGGGUGGUCAGGGAAGUUCUCACCCAAAGGUGAGACACCCGAAGGAGAGGACCAGUGGCUAUGUGGCUGUGUGGGAGAAAGGUGCCCUGUGCAGAGGGAGCCUGAGAUAGGAGGGACAGCUGGGAGGCCAGUAAGGCAGGAGGGGAGUGGGCAAAGACCAGAGGAGAGAGGGGAGUUGAAGAUCACGAGGCCUCCGAGGCCAAUCUAAGGGCUUUGGGCUUCUCCUCUGAGUGAGGUGGGAGCUCCUAAAGGGUUUUGAGUGGAAAGAAUGACCUGAUCUGACUUAAAUUUUAAGAGUCACUCAGGAUCUGGGAGGGAAUAGACAGAUGAGGGUGCAGGGCAAAACAAGUCAUCACAGUGGGACACAGGUGAGAGGCGAUGGUGCCUUGGACCAGCAGUGAAGACAGCGAGAACUGGAUAUAUUUUAUGGUAGAGAUCAAAAGGGUUUACCGUUUGGGUUGUGAGACAGAGAGGAGUUGGGGUUUUUGACCUGAGCAGCUGGAAGAACAGAGUUCUUGUCACCUGACAUGUGGGUGGGACAGGUGUGGGUAGAAGGUUCCAAAAUGCUGUUUGCAUGUGCUUAGUUUGAGGUGUCUAUCCGACAUCCAAGGGGAGAUUAUAAGGAUGCAGUUCGAGAUAACAAGGCUGGAACUCAAAGGAGAAGUUGGGACUGAAGAUGGAACUUUGGGUGUUGGUGUCUAAAGCCACGAGGCUGAAUGAGAUCACCUAGGGAGGGGAUAUAGUCAGAAAAGAGAAGUUGUCCAAGGAAUGGCCCUCUAAGAUCAGCCCUGCCCUAAAUUCUUCCUUCAGCUGCAGGAAGGGGAUAUCUUCAUGCUGGAGGGAUUGGCCCCAUUUUGCCUGGUGCCAGAUGGUUGAUUCAUUACUGGUGUGAGUGUCCUGGCAAUUGGAACUCAGUGGAAACUGACUUUCUCCAGUUAACAUUCCUCCUCUCCCUGUCCCCAAUUCAGCUGAGGUUUGAACUAGCAACCUAGAGGCAAGCUUCUCCAUCCUAGUACAGGUUUGCCAGCAGCCGUGGCCUUCUCCUCUGGUCUUCUCUUUGCCUGUCUACAGGUCCAACCUCGGGUAUUCUGCUCUUCCAGAAGAGUGCUUAGUCCCUGGACAAGCAAGACAUCCUUUCACACUGAGCUAGAGACUGAGGGCUGGAGGAAGGGGCCCUCCAAGGCAGCAAGGGCUUGGAUAGGAACCGUCCUACACAUUUUACCCAUUAGCUGAAAAUCCUUUCAUAAUGUUUUCCAUUCCCCUUAUAGUGAGUCAUCAUCUGAGCAGGGCCUCUGCUAGAAAGUUCAUAUAAACCUUACAGGAUUUGAUGGUUUGAGCAAAGAGAAGAAAUGACUGACGGGAGCCUUGGAAGGCUGCAGUCAGAACCUCUUGCCAUGGUUGCCCUUUAUUUCUAAGAGUAGAUGACAAGGGAAAUGAAGAAGAGUUUGGGGAAGAAGCUCUCGAGUGCCUCCCAAUUUUCUCCCUUCCUCAGCUUUACUAUCACCUCUCAGGCUCCCUAGGACUUGUUUCAGGGAGCCCCAGCCAAGAAAAGCACCCACAGGAGGGAAGUUGGAGAAACAAUAGCAGCAGAGAUGGGGUUUAUUGACAUAAACUUUCCAGCGCCCCAUCUCACUUUCCAGAGACACCAUCAUUCUCCCACCUUAGCUGCCAUUCUUUUAAAUGAUUCUAACAUAUACUUGGUUUCUCUACCCACUCCUUCCCACUCUCAGUUGAUUCUUUUUUGUCUUCUCUCUUCUUCUUUGUGGUAAAGGAACAGUGGACAGACAUAGCUAAUCCAUGGCCUUUGAAGUCCCAGUUGGCGGGUGCCUGUCUCGAGGCCUCCCAUUCUCCCUUUCUCUUGAAUUCACUAGAGACUCUACUCUUUGCCUUUCUACCCAAGAGGGAAAGUGGUCCAAAUAACCCACCACCUGGAAACAGAGGCGAUGCUUAUGCAGCUGAUGCCCACCUGUUUCAGGAUGGGGUUCCCUGAGUCAACUCUGGGAACUCAGCACACAGCAAUACAAACUCAGGAGUUUGAGAUCCCUUUUCCUCUUAUCUUCAACCAGGGUCCUAGAAAACAAAAGUAAUUACAAUUCACUGAUUCUUAUAACUGGUAAGAAAGCAACUGUUUCUGCUGUGUCCAAACUCCACCUGCAAACACUUAUGGAAGUCAGUGGAAAGGGUGACUUUGUUAGCCCUUCUCCUCACAGUGUUCCCUACUGGGUAUCAGGGCACUCCUCAGCAGAACCCACAGAGGCAAGAAUUAAAAACAGUCUUUUGUGUUAAGCAAAAUUUGCUAAAGACAUUGAUAGUAUUAGGUACCUUUUCUACUCCAAAGAGCUACCUCAUAGUUUAUGCAUCCAAGAUUUUCAUUCACUCAUUUAUUCAUCUGACAUCUUUUUAUUGAAUGACUACCCAGGUUUGGUGCUGUGUGCACCAAAGAAUGGAGAGAAUGGAGAAUGGAAAGAAUGGAGAAAAAGCAGAUGUGUCUUACAGUAAAAGUAUGGGAGAGGCAAAGAAAUAAACAAAUACAUCCAAAUUAUUAUACACUUUAGUAAGUGUUAUGAGAUAUCUGUGGGCUCCCAGCCCAGAGGGUGAGGUUUGAUUAACUACAGGCUAAACAUAGAAAUAAAGGCGAGUUGCAUGUUUUAAUGACUUGCUUUUACAUGUAACCUAGGAAAUAUUCUUUUUUAGAGAAUCACAGCUGGAUUUUAAAAUGGAAUUGCUUGCCCCUGAAUUAGAACAUCAGCAUUACCCAUGAUCUCAUGAAUGCAGAUCAUGUCUCCUGAAAUGCCUUUCAAAUGUUGUGGUUUUGCCUCUAUGAGGGAAACAAAUUGAAGAAAUGGCACAGUUGCCCCAACAACAGCCUCUACUGAUUGUCUACCCAAUAGCCUCUACUGGUUGUCUCACCGGCCCCCUUUUCCAUGAUCUCAUGUACUGUCUGGGGAGGUCUUUGUGACAUUGUCCCUGAGAGAAUGGUCUAAAACUCACUAUCGGGAACUUGUUUGGAAAAAAAGUGGAUAAUGUCAUCUUCUUAAGAGAGAUGAUGUUAUGAAGGUCCAAAGAAAGCAAUGUAGGCUGACACUUUCUCUUUUUAUAUUACUUCCCUGGACUUAGAGAAUGAAAUCUAUACUGUAGUCCUUUGCUUGCCCUUAUUUUAGCUCUGUUUUAGUUCUAGCGAAAGCUCUGUAUUUGACCCAGCUUGACACAAAUCUCAUCAGCACAGGCCUUGCUGACCUCCUCCAGCUCUUUGCCUUUCUUCUAUAUCACCGCUGACAAAUGUAGACUCUUAUGGAUGGUGCUUUCCCUAACAACACACAUCAAGCUGCGCAUAAGAGGGAUGCCACAGUGACUGGAUCAUGUUUUUAAGGUUAGUUCCUGAACUGGUUUUCAGUCUUUCCAUGUCCACUGUCAUAUUGAUGGUGUCCUUACCACCUUUGCUGCCUACUUGUUCCAUCCUGGGAAAACUUUCUAUCAACUGAUUUGGUCUUCAACCUGCCUGCUCUGCAUCUCAGACUUGGACUAACACUCUCCCUUGUGAGCUAGUGCGAUGGUCUUUUGUGCUGAGCUGCUCAGCAUCUUUUGUUAGGGAGAAGCCAUUCCUCUCUUUUCUUCUCUUCUCUUCUCUUCUCUUCUCUUCUUCUCUUCUCUUCUCUUCUCUUCUCUUCUCUUUUCUUCUUUUCUCUUCUCUUCCUUUCCCUUCUCUUCCUUCCCUUUCCUACCCCUCCCCUCCCCUCCCUUCUCCUCUCCUCUCCUCUCCUCCCCUCUCCUCUUCUCUCUCUCUCUCUCUUCCUAUAGGUGCUAAGUCACAGGGUCUAGUAUACAUCCAGCUGCAAGAGUGGGAGUGAGAAAAAUCACACAAUUCUAAUAUGAAUCUAUCUGACUCUAAAGUUUAAACAGUACAUAAUCCUAUUGGUGAAAACUGGGUGGAAAUAGUUAGAGCAUGUUUGGGCUGAUAAGCUCUGUGGUUGAAAGAAAUGAGGAAAGAACCAACUGACCAUUGUAGGUAACAUAGCAGCCAGUGGCCAGUCCACCUAGAAAGGCCAAUGAGGAUGGUUCUCCACUGUAGAGUAACUUUGUCUUGAUACAAUCAUCUCUUUUGUAUUUCCUGAUCAACUAUAAUUGCAUCUAGAACCUGCUGCUGAAUUCAGCACUUCUGGGGAUGAGCCCAUGUCUGAACAAUAGCUGUCAUCUAAAGAAUCUUUUGGGGGAGUGAUUAUGCCACUAGUUGCCUAGUAGAAUAUACUGUCGUCAAAGGAACUCUUUUUCUGGACAGGCAUGUAACACUUUAAGAAAACCCAAUGUGAAAGGUUUAGUAAACUGGAAAGUGACUAUCUGCUUUCAAACAGGAGUACCAUGUAGCUUUUUUAAACCUAGAACAAAAAUAGUACCUGCUGGAACACAUUAUUUUCCACACAAAAAAUUGAGAAUAACUCCAAAAUAAACAAACAAAACCAAAUGAGUGACUCCAUUUAUGGGAAGGUGGAUAGAUAUAUUUUUCCCUAUUCUUCCCUGGAGGAACAAGUGAAAAAUACAACAAAAAAAACCCUGGACAACAUAUAUCAAAAAAGUUUAAGAAGACUCUAAAAUGCGAGAGAAGGCAGAUUGUCUAGGAACACUGGGACCCAUGGAACAAAACAUUGGUGAGUUUUCAUCUCAUAUAUUCCAGACUUGGAGCCGAAAAGCUGGCAACCUGGAAAUGCCAAUAGGCACAGACAAAAAAAGCCACAACAAAAGUCUGCUCCCUCUAGCCAAAAUUGUAGGAAAUGAAUAGCCUAGGAAGAUAGAGAACUUUUAGAUAAUAACAGCUCUACUUUAGCCAAACACCACAAAACAAAAAACAACUAUGACCCCACUCCCACUCAUAACAGCAAAGAUCUAGUGGAAAGCUUAGACUCCACCCUCACUAGGCUGUAGCAAAGCCCCCUAACGUUACACCCCUACCUCCCCAACUCCCUGUCAGGGUGGUGUUAGCAAAAGCUAAGUAGGGAACCAGGACUUUCAUCCUGCCAGGUGGUAAUCAGAACCCUAUUACAGUAUCAGUGGGUACCAGUGGGAAGCCCAGCCCUGCCUCCCCAUUCAGCAGUAAUGAGGUGCCACCACUGGUCCCCCAAACAGGAGUGGUGUUAGAGGAGGCCUAGUGAAGAAUAAGCCCUUCCACUGUGGCUGUGUGGGGCCACUCUUCCUAUGGUACCACUGGAGGCUACCUAGGAAACAGCAAUGAGACACUCCUACUCCUCCUAACCAGGGAGAUACAGGUGAACACUAGUAGGGAGUUGGAACACUCACUUUUGACCAGCAAUAAUGAGGAGUCCCCCUUGGAUAUCAGCAGAGGUCAAGUGGGAAACAUGGCAGUAAUGAGACAGUGACCCUACCCUCUUCUUCUGCCAGAAAGAUGUCAGCAGAAGCCAGCCAAGACAGAAGGCUUCAACAAGAUCCAGAGUCUUAGAACAUUCAAACAUCUAGGUUUCAAUACAAAUCACUCAUCACACCAGGAACCAGGAAGAUCUCAAACUGAAUGAAAAAAGAAAAUCAAUAAAUACCCUCACCCAGAUGACAGAAAUAUAAGAAUUAUCUGGCAAAGAUUGUAUGGCAGUCCUCAUAAAAAUGCUUCAAGGAGCAGUUAGGAACAUAUUUGAAACAAAUGAGAGUAUGUAAUGUCUCAGCAAAGCAAUAGAAAGUCUCAGCAAAUAAAUAAAAAUAUAAAGAAUCAAAUGGAAAUUUUAGAACUGGAAAAAUAUGAUACCUGAAAUAAUAACUCAGUGGAUGAGCUUGACAGAAGAAUGGGGAGGACAAAAGAAUCAGUGAACUGGAGGAUGAAGCAAGAGAAAUUACCCAACCUGAACAACAGAGAGAUAUAUCCUGGGAAAUGCAAAACCAAUAGUGAACAGAGCCUCGGGGUUGGUGAGACUGUAACAAAAGAUUUAGCAUUAUGUCAUCAGAGUCCCAGAAGAAAAGAAAGAGAACAGAGAUAAAAAAAAAAAAAAAAGUACUAGAGGCUGGAAACUUCCCAAAUUUGGCACAAGAUACAAAUCCACAGAUUCAAGAAGCUGAGAAAACUCCCAAGCAAGAUAACUCAGAUAAAUC